RNAcentral lists this long non-coding RNA (65488 nucleotides) under Vitis vinifera (wine grape). RNAcentral's name for it is "long non-coding RNA (VVIN_LNC000890)". The record is from RNAcentral. Lineage: Eukaryota; Viridiplantae; Streptophyta; Magnoliopsida; Vitales; Vitaceae.
GAUUUAGACCCUAAAGGUGGCCUACAAGUGCCUUGGAGCCUAAGUGCCCAAACCAUAACAAAAAUGGGGGUCAAAACACGCUGAAACUGGAACUACCUAGUAGAAUCGGUUGAACUGGUUCCCAACUGGCUCAAUUGGUUGAGAAAAAAAAUCUGAAACUUUACCAGAAUAUUCCUCAGAGAAUAAGGAAUCCAACAAAAUAAACGACACUCAAUUCCAAGCCCGGAUGAGGGAGAACCGACCAAAACAAUGCAAAGCAUUUAUAAAACAGGGCUGCCACCAAGCCACCUGUUGAACCGAUUCCCAACUGGUUCAUCCGAUUGAGAAAAAAUUUGAAACUUUACCAAAAUAUUCCUUAGAGAAUAAGGAAUCCAACAAAACAAAUAGCACUCAAUUCUGAGCCCGGAUGAGAGAGAACCGGUUGAAACAAUGCGAUGUUUUCCAUAAAAGGCCAAACCCGAGCCACCCAAAAUGCAUUGUUUUCUUUAAAAUUCGCCACUUAAGCCAAUGCUUUAGUAGAUGCAAUUUUUCCAUAAGCUUUUAGCAUGCAUGCCUAAAAGGGCAAGGCCACAAAUGAAAGGGCCUACUUCCCAAACAAAUUAACCGUAUUUCUUACAAUCAAAGGAAAUGAACCAUGUCCCCUCCCUUGCCAAAUCUAGGACCAAUGAGGCCCCAGUGGCUGAAUGAUGAGCACAGUGGCUUAACCAAUAUGCCAUAACCUCUAAUCCUAAUUGAAAAACUGAAAUGGUCUACCCCAAAUUCCAAACAAAACAGUCUAAAGAGACUUUUUAUCAAAUCAAAACUAAAGGGAAUGGUUCCCUAAACUAAAGGUACAAGCCCCUUUUUGGUAUUUUGGAACCUAGCAUGAAAGCCCAAUGGCAACCCCAAAAAAAAAAAAAAUUUGAUUGCACUUCCAAACCUGAAACCAAUAACGCAGCAAGGACCUUCCUUGAAUGCCACAAGCAUAAUGCAAAUUUCCACCCUCACUAUGCAACCAAACAAUGGAGUUCUUACCCCAAACAUACAUGCAACCAAGAUCCUAAAGAAUACCAUUUAAUGAGCACAAAAGCCUUGCCUUCAUAAGCAAUCAGAUAUGACCAAAGCUUUAAACAGUUGCCUUAUAAGCCAUUAGGACUAUUAAUUCACUUUCCACAUUCAAGCUUAAAACAAACGAAUGCAUCAAAUAGUUAACCAAUGCCCUCUUUUUAUUUGCAAACUACUAAGGUCAAGGCCUUAGGGGCCAAUAAAAAAAACUAAACUUGGACAACCUUUGAAACCUAAUCAAAGAUCAGUUAGCCAAGAAAACCACACACAAGUAACAUUAGAAGAAAAUAAUAGCAGAAAAAAAGAAAUAAAAAAAAAAUAAAAGAAAAAACAGAGGAUCUCUAGUAGCAACCAAAUCACACAAGAGACCAGUUUAAUUCUAAAACCCAGAACCUUACCCACAAAUGGGCACCAAAACCCCAAAGGUCCUCUAGAUGCAAUGACAAGGGGAACCACAAAGGCCUUAUGAAGGAAGCAAAACAAACCUAAAUUGGGGGCUAAGGAACCCUCAUUCCAAACUUGAAUCCGAGCACCAGAGACCUUUGCUUACUCAAAGCAAAUCAAAGCUGGUUGCUAAUGAGAGAAAUACUUGCUUUGUUCACAAAACAAAUCACACCAUACAUGGGAGCUUAGGCAUGCAAUAACGAAAAUGCAAGGAUCCUAGCCUUAUCUUUCAUAUACCUUCAAUGACCAUUUCGAAUGCUAAAAAAAUAACAGACUCACUCUCGGUUGAAUCAGACAUGCAUAGUCUUAGACAACUUACAAACUUGACCAAAGACUAAUCAGCAAAGACCCUCAUUUUCUUGUCUAAACAGAUUAUUGCAACAAACCUCAGAAAGAAUGAAAAUAUAAAAUAGCAGAAAGCAGGAUCAAAGAGUUACCUAUGCAUGCGUUGAAGAUGCUGAGGUAGAAAUGAAGUCACUGGGGUAGCAAACGUCCAAGUUCCGCUUCCAGAAAUCAAGGCCUUCCCCUUCAACAACAUGAACAAGAAACUACUCCCUCUACAACCAGAAAAUCUCUCAAAACCUCCGUCUCCUUCACUCUUUCCUCUGUUUCUUUUUUCUAUUUUUUUUUCCUCUCUUCUUUCUUUUCCUUUAUCUCCCAACACACAAAAUUUUCUCAGGUCUAGAACUCUUCCCCCACACUCUUUUUUUUUUUUUUAAGCUCUCACCCUCUUCUCCUUUGGCUUUCACUUUUUUGACAAAGUUUCCUCCUAGAAUCCAGAGAGAGGUCCUCAUCUUCUUCCCUCUUUUGGAUUUUAUAUUAGACCCCUUUGUUCCUCCAGCUUCCAUUCAUUUUCCCAUGCAUUCAGCUCUGGAAAACAACCCUUCAACCUCGAAACCACACUCCCCAAUAACUCUCCUCACCAAUUCUCCAUGCAAGCUGACUCUUUUAAGUUUUUAGCUUGCUUCACCACCAAGGAUCCAUAUGGAUUCAUGGUGGGCUGCAAGAAACCCAAACCAAGGCCCAAAAUGGACCCACAAUAUAGCCCAAGACCGAUUUGGAGCUUAUGGGCCCAAGUCAUGUAGGAAUUGGGCUUCAAAAUCAUCAAAACUAGUGCUCCAUACAAGCUAGCUCGAUGAACCGGUUAAACUGGACGCCAACCGGUCGAACCGGUUGAGAAAAAUUAUGAAAUUUUGAAAAAAAAUUUCUGAAGAAUAAGGAGUCCAUGAAAAAAAAUGGUGCAUGAUUCUGAGGUUGGAUGAGGGAGAUAUGGCCAAAACAAGCCCGAGUGCUCCGAAUUCGAACUUGCUCCCAUGCAUUCUGCCAAAACUGAAACUUUGGGGACUGGUCGAGUCGGUUGAGAAAAAUUAUGAAAUUUUGAUAGAAUUUUUCCUAAAGAAUAAGGAGUCCAUGAAAAAAAACGGUACACAAUUCUGAGGUCGAAUGAGAGAGAUAUGGCCAAAACAAGCCUAAGUGCUCUGAAUUCAAACUUGCUCCCAUGAAUUCUGCCAAAACUGAAACUUUGGGGACCGGUCGAUCCGGUUGAGAAAAAUUAUGAAAUUUUGAUAUAAUUUUUCUUGAAGAAUAAGGAGUCCAUGAAAAAAAACGGUGCACAAUUUUGAGUUCGGAUGAGGGAGAUAUGGCUAAAACAGGCCUAAGUGCUCCGAAUUUAGACUUGCUCCCAUGCAUUCUGCCUAAACUGAAACUUUGGGGACCGGUCUAGCUCGAUGAACCGGUUAAACCGGACGCCAACCGGUCGAACCGGUUGAGAAAAAUUAUGAAAUUUUGAAAAAAAAUUUCUGAAGAAUAAGGAGUCCAUGAAAAAAAAUGGUGCAUGAUUCUGAGGUUGGAUGAGGGAGAUAUGGCCAAAACAAGCCCGAGUGCUCCGAAUUCGAACUUGCUCCCAUGCAUUCUGCCAAAACUGAAACUUUGGGGACUGGUAGAAUUUUUCCUAAAGAAUAAGGAGUCCAUGAAAAAAAACGGUACACAAUUCUGAUGUCGAAUGAGAGAGAUAUGGCCAAAACAAGCCUAAGUGCUCUGAAUUCAAACUUGCUCCCAUGAAUUCUGCCAAAUUAAGAUAAGUGUUCAUUAAAUCUAAAAUUCACAAAUAUUUUUCUUCAAAAGAUUGAUAUUUCUUUAAAAAAAAAAAAAAAAAAAUCUGUUAAUAAAAAAAAGGUAUUAUUUUCCAAAUUGAAAAUGAGAUUCUAGAUUUAAAUAAAUGAUAUUGGAUAAAAAUGGAAUGAACGUUUUUUUCUCUUUAGAAAUAGUUGCUGAAUAUAAUAAAACCUAAAAAAGAGUUGGGAUAUAAGGAACCGCCAUAUCUUCAACUGAAUUAGUCCGUUAAUCUUUUGGGCCCAGCCCAGGAAACAACUAUAUGCCAACCGAAAAAUCUCAACCAACGGCUAGUUUUGUAAUUUCAAAUAGGAUCUUUCCCAAAAAAGAAGUAAGAUUUCUUAUGGAAUAGGUGAUAAAGAAACAAUAAUGACAUCCAUCCACAUCAAUUAAAGACAAUGAUCAUUUUUUUUUUCUUUUUUAACCUGACCAUCCAAUGGAUAUAAAAAUACAAAAAUGAAUUUUCUAAUAGAAUAAGCAUUUAACAAAAAAUAAAAAAUAAAAAAAUUACAUGAAUGAACAAGUGACUUAAGAGUCUGAUUGUCUCGAAUACUUGGAGAGUUUUACAUGAAGGGUUGGAUCUUUCUUCUUCUUCUUCUUGAAAUGUUUUGAGGCCGCUUUCAGCACCUUGCUCCAUCCCUGUUACAUUAAUUUCACUAUAAUUUAAUAAAAUCCAAAAAAGGAAAAAAAAAAUUGUUGAUGACAUUAUAGAUUCCCCUUUAGAGGUGGCUUCUUUUCCCCAAAUUUUCCCAUAAAUUCCAAGCUUUUUCCAUGUGAGACAAAGAAUGAGGAAAGGGCCCUCUUUCAACAUUUUCUUUCCCCCUUUUCUCCUUAUCCAAACAGAUCCAACACGGAGGCCAAUUUUCCCUAUUGGUUUCCCAGUUUCCUCAAAUGGGUAUAUCCAUUUGAGCUUCAACAACCCAAAAAUGGCUGGAAAAUUUUUCAAAAAAAUAAAAACAAAAAUGGAAAAUAAAAGAGUGGUUACCUUUGUGGAAGGAGGAGUGGGAGAGAAGUGAUCAGGGGGCUUGAUGAAACUCCUCCUCCUCUUCUUCUGCUUCUUCUUAAACAUAGUGAAGAUGUUGUUCUUAAGAUUAGCGGUGACCUUCUUGAGAGUGGUUUUAUCCAAACCCAACCUGUAAGACAACUUCGGAGGUGGCGUUCCCAAAUCCCAGUCCAAAGCAAGAGAUUUUUGAGGGCGAGGCACCAAUGGAGACCAGAUUGAGCUCUGUGAGUAGUCAAAAUCAAAGGCAGAGGUGUCUGGGAAUUUGCCGAGAAGCUCUUCGCACAUGGAUGAUUCCACAUACUCCACCACUUUUAUCAGCCUCCCUUCUUCUUCUUCCUCUUCUUCUUCUGGUACUGCUACUGCUACUGCUACUGCUAAUGCUGAAGACAUUGAGGAAUUGUUUUCUGUGAAUAAAGAAGCUCAAUCACUUUGCCGUUUUUUUCUUUUCAGUUGCUUCGAUUUCUGUAAGGAAAAGUGGAGAAGAUGAUUGUAUAGGAUGAAUGUGGGAAAAAGUUACCGUUGCAAAAGUCUAUUGCUUCCAAAAGGCCUUGUCUUUUCCUCUUCCCGUUUUGCCCUUCACUUGUUUUCGUUACUCUGUCUUGGUGGUCAGAUAGGGCCCAAGGGCUUCAAAGGUAAUUUCAAGGUAACGGUCCGGUUCUGUCCUACUCUUAACGUGACAUCCGUUGCCGUGGAUGUUGAAAUUUAUUAUUGUUUUUCCAAUUACAAUUGUUCAAUUUAAUGAUCGUUUGAUUAGAAUUUUAGAAGAAAGAUAACAAUUUUUAGGGUACCCAACAAAGAACAAAAUUCAUGGAUACUUUUGUAGUACCAAACGAUAAUUUAUAGGUACCGUAUCCAAAAAUCACCACCACUCAGAUUCUAGCUUUUUCUUUAUAUACAUAUUCGAUAAUUAAGAUAAGAAAUUAGAUGGGUUGAUACUUAGGGCCUUAACAUUCCCAACUUUUAUACUUUGUUUUAGUUAGAAAAAAUAUUGUUAAGAAAAAUAAUGUUUUUAUAUAUGAUAUAUUAUGAAAUUUGUAUAAAAUGAAAAAUAAAUCAAAUAAGUUUGAAAAAAUAUGUAUAAAAAUAAUUUAUUAAUUUGUUUGAUUCCAACAAAAGAGAUAAAUUAUUAAGAAAAAUAAUUUUCUUAUUUCAAAGAAAUAAAAAAAAAUAGUUUAUUAAAUUUAUAUUAUUUAAUCUUUAUAUAAAAGAAAAUGAGUUUAAAGAAGUACAUAAGAAUAAUUUACCAACUUUAAAUCUUUUUUUUUUCCUUUCAUUUUCUUUUCUUUUCCAUUUCUAUUUUGUUUCUUUAGCAUUUUUCCACAAAUGUUCCAACAACUAAGUAUAAUUUUUUUUUAAAAAAAAGAAAUUGUUAUAUUUCUAUUUUUCUUUAAAAAAAAAUGUUUUCUCAUAAUUUUUUCUCUAAUUUUCAAAAUCCAUGUAUUGGGUUAAUUCUUCUUUCCAAACAUAAAUGUGAGAUUAUUUAAUAUCUUGUACUUAAGUUAAAAAAUAUGUACUUAACUUUAAUUAAGAAUUAUGUAAGAAAAUAAUUAUGCUUCAAAUAUUUUCGCAUUUUGAUUUGUUACAUGGCAUGUAAACCAUUUAAAAAUAAAACAAAAGAUAGAAAGAUUCAAUCAUCUCCCAAAAAAGAUGAGUCAAAGCAAAUGGUUAAUUAGUUUUAGGCUUUCAACUAACUCUAGUUACAUCCAUGUCUAUGUAUAAAACUCAAGAAGACUAGAAGUUAACUGAGUUGUUGUUACUAAUACAAAGAAAGCUCUUUGUAAUUAUUUUUCUUAGUUCAUCAAUCAAACAUGGUAUUAGAGCCAGAACGACUUACGUCUAUGGCUUAAGUUGCUGCAAUGAAUACCAAUCUCUCUUCAUCAAGCAUCUCCUGCACAAGUGGAACAACAUUGAUGGUGGUCCCCUCACUGAUGUUCUCAUCUACCAUUCCUCAACUAUCUUUGAAACUCACAAGAACAACUAUGGAUUCUAGCGUUCACAAAUUCUUCCAACUGUUCGAGCUCUUGAUCUUUAAAGAUAUUUGCUUGGAACAACGGUGUGUCUCUUUUGUUUCAUUUCAAAUGGAGAUGAUAAUUCUUCAAUAAUCAACUCAGAAUUUUUAAUCUGGAACAAAACAGACUAGUUCAUCAUGAGUUGGAUUUUUUAUUCUCUUUUAGAGUCGAUGUUUGGCCAUAUUGUUUGAUGAAAAAUUGUUACUGAAGAGUGGAGUACUUUCAAUUGAUUGUUUUUCAUCAACUCCAAGUUUCAGGUGCAACAUCUUCAAAAAUAAAUUGUAAGAAGUUUCAAAAGGCUCCCUGAGUAUUAUUGAUUAUUUUUUGCAAAUGAAAGAAAUUGCAGAUACUUUAUAAUUGUAUCUAAUAAAUUCAUCGAUGAUGAAUUGUUGAUGCACAUUUUUGGUGGUUUAAAUCAUGAAUUUGAUGUUAUAAUUGUCAAUCUUUAGUCAAGGAAAGAUUAUGUUUCUCUUGAAGAAGCUUAAUUCCUCCUUCAAAAACUUAACUCUGUUUCAAAUAUCCAUAUUGGUCCCUCUGCAAGUUUUGCUGCCAAACAAGGCCACAAAAUAAACAAUUAUCAAUUCUCUAAGGCUCCUAACAAUAGUUCUUUUCAUGGUGGUUGUGGUGGUCCAAGAAGAGAAAGCCAAAAUAAGCCUAUCUGUCAGUUAUGUGACAAAGUUGGUCAUAUUGCACUGAAAUGUUAUCAUCAUUUCAACAUUAGCUUCAAAAGACCACAACAAUAACCACAAUAUGAAAAUUAUGCUUCGCCACAAGGCACUCAUUUAAAGACAAUGCUCGAGCUUACUUUGCCAUGUUAGCCAUUGUUAAUGACCAUAAUUGGUACAUGGAUAUAGGAGCCACAAAUCACAUUACUGGUGAUCUCAAUAAAUUGACUCUCAAGAUAGGCUACAAAAAUAAGGAAAAACUUGUUGGAAAUGGUAAUUCUCUAAAGAUUUGUCAUAUUGGUUCUUCAACUAUAUCAUCUAAUUUUUCAUCACAACCAUUAUAUCUUCAUGAUAUCUUAAUGUGCCUACAAUUAUAAAAAAAUUAUUAAGCAUAUCUAAAUUCACCAAGGACAACAUUGUUGUUGAAUUUUAUGAUGAUUGUUGUCUUGUUAAGGACAAGAACACGAGGAAGAUUUUGAUGCAGGGCAACCUUAAAAGAGGGCUUUAUCAACUUGAUGUUCUAGUGCUCUUAGGAAGUUUAAAAUUUGUCUCAAAUUUUGGUUCUAGUUUUCCUUCAAUUUCUCUAGCACAAGUCAAAUCUAAUGAGGCUUGUAUUCAAAUUGUGAACACUUAGCAUAGCAUGCUUAGUCAUCCUCAUGCUCAAGUGUUAGCACGGGGAUGCUCAAGUGUCUUUAAGAACUGAGUACCUUUAAUUCUAUGAUGUCUGUCAAUAUGGAAAAGCUUGUCAGUAUAGGGACCUUCACCUAUUUUUUCUAUAGAAGGCUAUCAAUAUUACAUUCACUUUCUGGAUGAUUUUACUCACUAUGCAUGGAUAUUUCCAUUAAUGAAGUUAAAAUAUAAAACCAAAGGUAUUUUUCUACAAUUUCAAAUCUUGGUAGAAAGACAAUUCAAUAGAAAAUUAAAAUGUCUUCAAACUGAUUAAGAAGGUGAAUAUAGGCCUUUUUUUGCCUAUUCUAGCUCAACAAGGUGUAGUUUUCAAACAUCCAUGUCCUCAUACUCAUUAGAAAAAUGGAAGAGCAAAAUUAAAACAUAGACAUAUAGUUUAGCCUGGAUGAACACUCUUGGCACAAGCACACAUGCGUCUAUAUUUUUGGUAGGAUGUUUUUGUGAUUGUAGUGUUUUUUAUCAAUAGAUUACCUACCCAAGUUCUUAAUUAUACUUCUCAUUUUCAAUCUCUUUAUCACAGAAAACCAAAUUAUAAGGUUCUAAGGGUUUUUGGUUGUGUUUGCUUUCCUUAUCUAAGGCCCUAUAAUAAACACAAGUUUGCCUUUCAUACAACCAAGUGUGUCUUCCUUGGUUAUAACUUGGUGCAUAAAGGGUUUUGUUGUCUGAGUUCUCCAGGUUAGAUUUACACAACCAUGAGUGUCUUAUUUGAUGAAGAGCGUUUCCCUUUUGCUAUUGGUUUUCAAGUUAAAAGGUCUAGUGCUUCUAAUUUUGUUUUUGUUGCCACUAAUGAAACCAAUAUCUUUGGUAUGUGGCAUGUUCCCUCACCAAAUGAUUUUUUAACUUCUACUACAUCUAUUUUACCUUAAACAAUAGUUUCAUCAUCAUCUUUGGCUAGCGCACUUGUUGAAAAUAGAGCAUUACAACUUGUUGAAACUAAUACUGUUGAGGAUCCCAAUAUAUUACAAUAUGAGAAUCAAGUUAAUAAUGAGAAUCAAACUAUUAAGUCUAAUUCUUCAUCUAUUUAGAAUACUCAUCCCAUGCAAACUAGAUCCAAGUCUAGAAUUUUCAAACCAAAGGUCUUCUUUGCCAAACAGAAAAUAAAUACUUUAGUUACUGGACCUUUAAGUGUGGAAUAAGCUCUAUUGGAUCCAAAUUGGAAAAAGACAAUGGAUGAUGAGUAUAAUGCCCUUUUAUCAAAUAAUGCAUGGAGCUUAAUACCUUAUACAAAUGACAUAAAACUUGUGGACAAAAAAUGGAUUUUUUAAGUAAAAUAUAAUCCUAAUGGUUCUAUACAAAGAUAUAAGGCCCAACUUAUUGCUAAGAGUUUUCAACAAAUAGCAGGGCUUGAUUACUUUGAUACUUUUAGUCUUGUUAUCAAGUGAUCAACCAUUCUUGUAGUGCCUACUAUUGUUGUUACAAAAGGUUGGGAUAUUCAACAGAUUGAUAUUAGCAAUGCAUUUUUAAAUGGAGACCUAUAAGAAAUUGUAUACAUGUUUCAACCAAUUGGUUUUAUUGAUCAACAUGCUUCAUACCAUGUUUGCAAGCUACACAAGGGCUUAUAUGGUCUAAAACAAGUGCCAAGGGCUUAAUUUAACAAGCUUAAAACUGUUAUAUUGCAUUGGGGUUCUGAAAACUCAAAAUCUGAUACCAGUCUCUUCAUACUUAUCUGCAAGCAAAAUACCACUCUUGUUGGUCUAACCAAUGAUGAUAUUGAUUUGAUUUAGCAAGUAAUGAAGGAUUUACAUGAGAAGUUUGCAAUUAAGACUUUAAGUUUCAUGAAUUAUUUUCUUAGAUUUGAGACAUACAGAAAUCAAUCUGGUCUUUACUUAACCCAAACAAAAUAUACUUUGGAUAUUUUGGAGAAAGCUAAGAUGGCAAGAGUUAAUCCAAAUUCAACACCUUUUUUCAGUUGGGGUUAAUAAUUGCUUGGUUUUUCAUCGUUUAUUGGAUCAAAACAAAAUUUAUAACCUAAUUCACUAUUCUAGAGUAGCUUGUACCUGAUCAAAAAGUGGUUUUUGUACAAACUACUAUAGUAUAAUGGUUUUUAGGUGUCGUCCACUAGGAUGGAUUAUUCUCGGUAAUUAAGGCUUGAAUAAGAGGAUAAGAAAUGAUUGUGAUCAAGUGAAAUUGAUUUAAAAAUUCAUAGUGAAAAAUUAAUGUAACAAUGGUCUCAAAUUGAAAAGAAAAAUGAAAUGCAAAAUAGAAGAAAAUUAAUAGGAGAUGAAAUUCUUGGAGUUAGGAUUUUCUAGAAAAUAAUUUCCAUGGUGAAUAGAUGUUGAGAUUUAAUUUUCAUCAAGUUAGAUUGAAAACCUAAAUUUUCAUCUAAACCAAUUUUUGAUUUAGCUUUAGGUCUAGAUCUAAUUUCUCUUCAAAUUAGGUCAUUUAAUCCAAGAGAUCAAUUCAAUUCAUCUUAAAUUAUCUUCCAAUGAUUCACACAAUGCAACUAUUCAAUAUCAUCAAAUCCAGCUUUAAGAAUUUAAUGAAUCUAUCUAGUUUGCAUUGUAGAAGUCAUCCAAGACAAUUUGAAGAGAAAAAUCCUCAAAAUUCAAUUAAUCAAUCAAUUGGAUCAAAUCACAUUUGCAAUUCAAGCUCAUUUCUCUAAUUCACCAUAGAUCUUGCCUUUAGAUCCUCAUUCCUCUGAGAAAAAUGAGAUUUAGCCACUCAUGCUUGGAGAUUUGGUCUCACAAGACAUGUGUUGGCUAGUAAGAAAAUGAAAGAAAAUGAAGGAAAUUAAAGAAUUCUCUAGAGAGAUAAAAUCUGAAAAAUUCUACAAAUUAGAAAUAUCUAAAAAGCUCCUCAAAUGAGAAAAUCAAGUUUCUAUUUAUAGGCCAAGGUUAAGUGGACACUUGGCAUCAUCUAAGAGGUCUCCCGGAGGCUUCUUCACCAAGAAAUCUGGAGUUUAGUAAUAAAAUGGUCAUUUAACAAGAGAUUUAGCAAUGUCACACAAGAUCUAGCAAUUUCGCACGAGAUCUAGCAAUUUCGCAUGAGAGCCAACAAUUUCGCAUGAUUGUGUGAAGUCAAAAAUACAUCAGCACCAAUUUUCGCAUGGUCAUGCGAAAUCAACUUUGAGAUUUCCCUUUGAUUUGUAGCAAAAAAUACCUUUUGGUCCAUUUCAUAUGACUGUGCGAAAUUUUCGCAUGGUCAUGCGAAAUGGAAAUACAUAAUUUUUCAACUUUUUUUUGUCAUUUCUUCCAUUUCUUUCUUUUGAAUCCACUUCAAUCACCUCCAAAUCAAUUCCAAAUCCCAGUCCAAACUAAUUACAUUACUUUUGUCAUUAUGCAUUUGGAUCUUCAUCAACUUUAUUUAUUCUCUUCAAUUUGAUUGAUCUCUUUUGUCACCAAUUUAUCGAAAUCAUACCUUGAAAUGAGUCCAAAACUUCAUAAAACUUGUUAGUAACUCUUGCAAGGGCAAUAACAUGUUAAUUGAGUGUUUUAGGCAUAAUUAUUACUCAAAAGAUGUGAAACUCAUGAAAAUUAUUAUCUAAGAUAUGCUCUUUUGAGUAGUAAUCAUUCUCCCCAACCAACGCAUUGCUAGUCCCUUAGUAAUGGUAUGACAAAAAGGAAGAAAAACAAUACCAAACAAAAGAAAUCAUAAGUCACAUAAGCAAAUCAUUUGAAAAAAAAAAUCUUUAAAAUUUCCAUAGCAUAAAUGAUUGAUAAACAAGCACACCCUACUAUCCAUAGGUAUCAACAAAAUCCCAACUUAUUUACUAUCUCUAAUAGAAAGAAUAUCAUGCAAAUCAAGGUAUCAAAAACAUAUCCAUCUUCAUUCCCCAAACAAUUUUUCCAAACAAGUCUUGAGUGUAAUUAAGCUAGCCCUCGAAUAUAGUACUCAAAACUAAUCCUCCCCCCAACCAAUCUCAAUUUAUCUCAAACAACAAAAAUCACUCUCUCAUAGGUUAAGAACGCACUUAUAUUUAUUUUAUUAUUAUUAUUUUUUUCAAAGGACUUAUUGUAGGAGUGUUAUGCUAAAGGUAUCUCCAAGUAUAUGGUCCAUGUAGCGGGGAUUCAUUAAUGACUCCCAACCAUAAUGCAUAGGGCACCAAGUUUAUAAGACUAUUUAACUAGCCAUUAACUCCUCGGACUUCACCUCGGACUCCUCAAAUUAGGAUCCAAUACCUUAGCACCUACAAUUGAACUCAUACUCCACCUAUUCACCCAUGUAACGAGCAUUGAGGUCGGUGGCUCCCAACCAAAAUGGCUUAGGGCACUGGGCUUCAAAGACCUUUGGGUCAUAUACCCCUCGGACCUUGCUCAGGUUUCAAGGCAAGCAUAACUCAACCUUUUUAUUCAUCAACUUUUUUUUUUCAAAUUAGGCACAUUGGCUUCUUUUUAAGGUGUCUCAACUCAAUUAAAGAGUAAUCAAUGUUACAAGAUAAUUAAGUCCAAGUCUUAAGGUUAGACUAGUUUUUCAUCUUAUAUUUGGGGUCUAGAGUGCACAAUAUGUGUUAAAACUCAAAUCGAAAUGACCCUUUGGAAAAUAAAGACUUCAAAGUCAAAUCAACUUUAAUUUACAUAACAAAUUUUUUAAGAUCAAGCAAAUAAGCUAGUAUUCUAAAUCAACUUUUUCAAGUUAGGUUUGAAUCAUCUAAAAAAAAAAAUUCAUCAAAUAAGUCACAAAUGUGAUUUAUGAAAAAAAAAUCUAAAAAAACUAACAAAACUAACAACAUAUUUCCUUCUCUUACUUUCUAACCCUUCCCCCAACCAAACAUGUACAUUGUCCUCAAUGUGUAAUGAAAAUAUACAAAGAAAGGAAGGGAAGAUACCUCAAUCUCUCAUGAAUUUCAGCUUCAAUAGCUAAAACAAAAAUAAAAUCACACAUGAGAAUUGUUGGAUAUGAAUGGCAUAAGAGAAGAAAAUAUGAAAACAAAUUUAUUAAAAACCAAAAAACUAUGUUAGAGACACAAUGUGUGGAGUAAAAUCAAGGUAUAGAUGAUGAUCAUGUCCAAAGAAAACAUGAUUUCAAUGAUAAGUCAAUGAUUCACAUGGAGUUUUUUAAAAUUUCUCACAAGUGUCUAAACUAGACAAGAAGGUGAAAUAUGUUGCAAUUACUCUCUUCUUUUAAAAGAAUUUGGCACAAUCAUGUGAAAAUUUGCAUGUACAUACGAAUUGGUCAAGAGAGUUCUAUCUUAUUAUUGCCUUUAGCAGAAUUUUUGCAUGGUCAUGCGAAAGUUUACAUAAUUAUGCGAAUUAGUCCAGAGGCUUAAAACUGUUGCAAUCAUCCACAUCAGUUUCGCACAGUCAUGCGAAAAUUUUGCAUGAUCAUGCGAAAUGAGACAUAGACUCAUUUUUUUGGAUUUUCAAAGCUAUAAAAACUCCCCUGUUUAUUGCAUGAAUUCUCUUGUUUUUGCGUGAACAUGCAAAAUGGUGAUGAACCAUUAAAACUCUUUUUUCCUUUGCCUCAUGCAUUCUAUCCAUCCGAAAAGUCCUUCAAAAUACAAAUCAAAGAGUUGAGAUGGAUUUAUUUAAUGGAAACUAAAAGAAAAAUAAUAAAAAAUCAAAAUUCAAAGGAAAGUAGAGAAAUGAGAAACCAUUGGGCUAGCUAGCCAUUGACAUGACUAAGCCUAUUAACCUUUGCAUCAAUACUCAAUUUGGAUAUGACUUGCAAACAAUGAAUGGACCAACUCCUUGAUACUUAAGUUUUCUCAUAAAAACAUGUGGCUUGAAAUAGCCUUCUUUGAACUUGUUCUUUUGAAUAAGUUGGCCAUACCAUUCCUUGAGCUUUUUUUUUUUCAUGGUCUUUAAAUUAUUGUGCACACCAUGCUUCAUGGUUUUCACUUUCUUCAAGCUGAAAGACCAUUUCAUUAACUUCAAAAGUUCAAUUUCUUCAUUGAUCCUCCAAAUUUCAAUCUGUUCAUUAGAAAUUACUUCACCAAGUUUUGAAAAAUUAUCUUCAACAUUUUCUUUCACUAGAUUUUCCAUAGGUAAUUCAAUCAAAUAAGCCUUUAUAAGCCCCCUUUCCUCUUUAGUACCAUACUUCUUACAUGAAUGAAAAAUGUUCAACUCAAUUGUCAUGUUCCCAAAGGUAAGUUGCAUCACCCCACUUCGACAAUUAAUCAAUACAUUUGUUGUGGCAAUGAAAGGUCGACCAAGUAUAAUAGGAACAUGGUUGAGUCCACUAAUUCCUUGUUCCGUAUCAAACACCACAAAAUCAACUAGAUAAUAGAAAUUAUCAAUUUGGAUCAACACAUCUUCAAUAAUUCCUCUUGGAAACUUAACCGAUCUAUCCGCCAAUGAAAGUGUGAUGGAAGUAGACUUUAGUUCUGGAAGCCCUAAUUGCAUAUAUAUUGAGUAGGAAAGAAGAUUCACACUUGCACCCAAGACUAAAAGUGCUAUUUUCACAAAAGUGUUGCCAAUAUUCAACAAGAUAGUUGGACAUCUUGGAUCCUUAUACUUGAUUGGAGUCUUGCAUUGGAUGAUUGCACUAACUUGUUCAGUCAAGAAAGCUUUCUUUUUCAAAUGCAUCAUUCUCUUUAUGGUACACAAAUCCUUAAGACACUUGGCAUAGGCUGGAACUUGUCUAAUCAUGUCAAGGAGUGGUAUAUAGACUUUUACUUGCUUCAAAACUUCAAAAAUUUCUGAAGCAUUAUUUACCAUCUUCCUUGAUUGAAGAGCCAUGGGAAAAUGUGGAGAUAAGAACAUAUCCUUGUUCAUUUUAGCUUCACUCUUCUCCUCCUUUUCUCUUUCAAAAUUUUCAGUCUUUGUUCUUUUACUCUUCUUAUCAUUUUCAGUCUUCACUUCCUUCUCUUUUGGUUUUGGCAUAGGUUGAUCAACUUGCUUAACACCUCUUAAGGUAAUGGUUGCUUUGACUUCAUCAUACUUAGUAUAACUUUCACUUGUCUUUCCAAUUUUAUGGACUUGACUUGGAUUUUGUUGGGGUUGUGAAGAGAAUUUUCGUUUUUCUUGCACCUUAUGCAUGUUUUUGAGUUUAGAAAUAGCAAGCUGCAUAUUAUCAAUCUUUUGUGUGAGAUUGGUUUGCAAGCUAUCAAAUUUCUGAUUGAAAGAUGUCUCCACAUGAUCUAUCAUUUGAUUUACUUGAGUAGUGAUAUUCUUUUGAUCACUAAUAAAAUCUUCUAAAAUUUUACUCAAGUUUACAAUAGCUUGCUUAGCCAAAGAAACUCGUUGUGAAGAGUCUUCCAUGAAUUGUUGGCUUUGUGAGUAUUGACUUGAAGAAAAAUACUCUUGUCCACAAUUCCAUGACAUGUUUGGAUGAUUAUCAACAAGUCUUUCCCCCAUAGCUGGUAUUGUAGGACAAUCACUCACUUCAUGUUCUAUAGAUUGACAACUAGAACAUUGCUCCAUGUAAAUUGUAUUAUCAUAUAUUGCAUUCACCUCGUGAAAUCCCUUAGCUUCAAGUUCCUCUAGCCUUUUUGUCAAAGCUAUCAUUUUAGCUUGUAGAUCAACAUAUUUAUUCAACAUAUACAUUCCUCCAUUUGAAUUGCUUUGAGACUUGGACUUGUGUGAAUCCCUUUCAUGUGGCUCAUCCCAUGACCUUGAUAUUUCAGCCACAUAAUUCAAAAAUUCAAAGGCUUCAUCGGGACUUUUGCUCAUAAAGUCACCUCUACACAUGGUUUCUAGCAAUUGCUUCAUAGUUGGCGACAUGCCUUCAUAGAAGUAACUCACCAACAUCCCUGUCUCAAAACCAUGAUGAGGACAAGCAUUGACUACUUCCAUAUAUCUUUCCCAACAAGCACAAAAUUUUUCAUUGUCCAGUGCCACAAAGUUAGUAAUUUGCCUUUUCAAGCCACUUGUGCGAUGUAUGGGAAAAAAAAUUCUUCAAGAAGGUUGUUUAUAGUUCCAACCAUGACCUUAUGCUUUGGGGCCUCAAUGAGUUAAACCACAACUUAGCCUUAUCCUUUAAUGUGAAUGGAAAAAGCUUUAAUCUCAUAAGCUCUAUGAAUGUAUUUCCCUCAUGAAAUGUAUGACAUACUUCUUCAAAAUCCUUUAUAUGAGUAUAAGGAUUCUCAUUCUCCAUUCCAUGAAACUGAGGGAGAAGUGGUACCAAGUGAGUUUUUUUUUUAUUUUUUAUUUUUAUCACAAUAGGCUCAUUAGGAAGAACUAUACAUGAUCUCACGCCUAUCCUUUGAGGAUUCAUAAAUUCUCUCAUUGAUCUAGACAUGUGAGAAUUGCCAUUGCUUGGUCCUUGUUGAGUUUGUUGAUUUUCCCCUUGAUUUUCCAUUUCCCCAACAAUUGGAUCACAAACUAAAGAUGAUUAGCAAUGUAAGUCCUUUGUAAUCUCUCCCUUGAGUUUUAUUCUAAAUGUAGCAUGCAAUGGAGAGCCUACAAAACAAGCUAAAAAAAAAAACCAAAACAAACCAAGAAGAACAAAAAGAGAAAUAAAAGAUAAAAAUGGAAUUAAAAAAAAAUGGAGAAUCGGUAAAGAAAACUUCAACAAUCUUGUGAUGUGGAUCACAGGGGCUAAUCCUCACGAAAAAAUUUGCCUCAAUAACCUUAGCACCAUCCCCAGCACCAGCAUCAUUUUUGAUCGCUUGGUUUUUCGUCGUUUAUUGGAUCAAAACAAAAUUUAUAACCUAAUUCACUAUUCUAGAGUAGCUUGUACCCCAUCAAAAAGUGGUUUUUGUACAAACUACUGUAGUGUAAUGGUUUCUAGGUGUCGUUCACUAGGAUGGAUUAUUCUCGGUAAGAAUGAGAGGAUAAGAAAUGAUUGUGAUCAAGUGAAAUUAAUUUAAAAAUUCAUAGUGAAAAACUAAUGUAACAAUGGUCUCAAAUUGAAAAGAAAAAUGAAAUGAAAAAUAGAAGAAAAUUAAUAGGAGAUGAAAUUCUCGGAGUUAAGAUUUUCUAGAAAACAAUUUCCAUGGUGAAUAGAUGUUGAGAUCUAAUUUUCAUCAAGUUAGAUUGAAAACCUAAAUUUUCAUUUAAACCGAUUUUUGAUUUAGCUUUAGGUCUAGAUCUAAUUUCUCUUCAAAUUAGGUCAUUUAAUCCAAGAGAUCAAUUCAAUUCAUCUUAAAUUAUCUUCCAAUGAUUCACACAAUGCAACUAUUCAAUCUUAUCAAAUCCAGCUUUAAGAAUUUAAUGAAUCUACCUAGUUUGCAUUGUAGAAGUCAUCCAAGACAAUUUGAAGAGAAAAAUCCCCAAAAUUCAAUUAAUCAAUCAAUUGGAUCAAAUCACAUUUGCAAUUCAAGCUCAUUUCUCUAAUUCACCAUAGACCUUGCCUUUAGAUCCUCCUUUCUCUGAGAAAAACGAGAUUUAACCACUCAUGCUUGGAGAUUUGGUCUCAUAAGACAUGUUUGGCUAGUAAGAAAAUGAAAGAAAAUGAGAGAAAAUGAAGGAAAGUAGAGAAUUAUCUAGAGAGAUAAAAUUUGAAAAAUUCUACAAAUUAGAAAUAUCCAAAAAGCUCCUCAAAUGAGAAAAUCAAGUUUCUAUUUAUAGGUCAAGGUCAAGUGGACACUUGGCAUCAUUUAUGAGGUCUUUCGAAGGCUUCUUCACCAAGAAAUCUAGAGUUUAGUAAUAAAAUGGUCAUUUCGCACGAGAUCCAACAAUUUCGCAUGAUUGUACGAAGUAAAAAAUGCAUCAACACCAAUUUUCGCCUUCAUGGAGCAUUUCGCAUGUUUUGCAUGGUCAUGCGAAAUCAGCUUUGAGAUUUCCCUUUAAUUUACAACAAAAAUGUCUUCUGGUCCAUUUCACAUGACUGUGUGAAAUUUUCGCAUGAUCAUGCGAAAUGGAAAUACAUAAUUUUUCAACUCUUUUUUGUCAUUUCUUCCAUUUCUUUCUUUUGAAUCCACCUCAAUCACCUCCAAAUCAACUCCAAAUCCCGGUCCAAACCAAUUGCAUUACUUCUUUCAUUAUGUAUUUGGAUCUUCAUCAACUUUAUUUGUUCUCUUCAAUUUGAUUCAUCUCUUGUGUCACCAAUUUAUCAAAAUCAUACCUUGAAAUGACUCCAAAACUUCAUAAAACUUGUUAGUAACUCUUGCAAGGGCAACAACAUGUUAAUUGAGUGUUUUAAGCAUAAUUACUACUCAAAAGAUGUGAAACUCGUGAGAAUUAGUAUCUAAAAUAUACUUUUUUGAGCAGUAAUUAGUUAAGUUACACUUAAAUGAUAACAAAUUAUUUGAGUAACCCUUCCUAUAUUGAAGUAUCAUUGGGGGGCUUCAAUAUUUGACUAUGACUCAACCUAAUAUAUCCUUUACUGUAAACAAACUUAGUCAAUUUCUUUAUGCACCUACAAAUCAACAAUGGCAAGCCUAUAAAAGAGUACUGAGGUAUUUAAGAGGCACAAUUGGACAUGGCUUGAAGUUUCAACUAAAAAAAGCUUUGGUCCUUGAAGGAUUUACCGAUGCAAAUUAGGUUAGUAACAUUGAUGACAAGAGAUCUACAAGUGGUUAUUGUAUUUUUCUUGGAGGAAAUUUGAUUUAAUGGAGUUCUUGAAAGAAAAAAGUUGUAGCAUGUUGGUUAUGUAUUGAGAGUGAGUAUCAAGUUUUAGCUCAAGCUGCUACUGAAAUAGUUUGGCUACAAAUUAAGCUUGUUUGUUGAACUUGGACUCAAAACUAUGCAUAGUCCUAUAUUGUGGUGUAACAACAUUGAAGUAAGAUCCUUAGCUUCAAAUCUUGUGUUUCAUGCAAAAAAAAAAAAAAAAACACAUAGAGAUUGACAUUCAUUUUGUGAGACAAAAAGUUAUUGCAAAAGAGCUAGAUAUAAGGUAUGUGCCAACUGAAGAACAAAUUGUAGAUCUAUUGACUAAGCCCUUAACCACUACUCGGUUUGAACUACUUCAUGACAAACUCAUCUUUGCCAAGGCAUAACAUUGCUUGAGGAAGUGAGUUGAAGCAAGUGGUUAAUUAGUUUCAACUAACUCUGUAAUUAGUUCGCAGGACUAACUACUUUCUAUUACAGAAAGUUCUCUAUGCUUCCAGAAUUCUCUAGUUACAUCCAUGUCUAUGUAUAAAACUUAAGAAUACUAUAAUUGUUUUUCUUAGUUCAUCAAUCAAACUAGACAUAGUUAUGCUGAAAAAGAUAAUUAUCUCACUUGCAAACAUAUCUGGGUGGAAUUAAAAACAGUUAAUUUAUAUUGUAAUGAUCAUUGAUAUUAAUUAAGAAGAAUAUUCGGCUCUUAAUUUGAGAAUGUAUCAAUUUGGAAAUUCCAACAAUUUGUUUAAUAGUUGCAAAUGAUAAAUUAUAAUUUAGGAAUAAAAAAAUAUUAAUUGUAUAUUUUUAGUUUUUUUCCGUUUUCCACUUGACACAAAUAUUGCAAUUUUUUAUUAAAUUAGUUUGUUUAGAACAUUAUUUCAAGAACAAAAUUAAGAAAAGAUAAUUUGAUAUGAAAUAAAAGUCCGAAAUAAAUUAUUUGUUAUUUGAUAGAAAACUUGAUAGUAGUAAAAUAUGUUUAUAUAUAUAAAAAAUUUUCUUACUGUAGACCCCUGUUAAGGUGAAGGCCUGGGGGAGAAUUGGGAGGGGUUUUUUUUUUUCAUUUUUUCACUGCAUUUUUUGGAGAGUUGGGGGGGGGGGGGGGGGGGCGGGGGGCCUCCUCUAGGCAUGGGACGUGUCAGGUUGGUAGUUGAGGAGGCCAUGCUGCUGAUGUGAUGAACAGGGUGAUGAGGAAGAAGACAGAAACCAGCUGAGGGGCAAGAGGAUAGCAGGGAGCAAGGGUGAGGAGGAAGGAACUUGAAGCCUAGCUAGUCUUGAGAGAGUCCACUUACAGGUACGAACCUCAUGUCUUUCACCUUCCAUUAUUCUCCUAUCCUUCCUGACGUUUUUUUUAGUUCUAGUCCUAAACCAUAAUUUGUUUACUUUGUUUACUUUGGUUAAAUUUAGUCCUCUGCAUACAUGCUUUGUUCUUGGUUUUUUUUUUUUUUUCUUUGUUUCGUUUUCUCCCACCCCUUGGAGCUGGUUGCAACUGACGAACCCCUAAAGAGGAGCACUGAAUCAGUGCCAAUCCAAAGCGUUUCUUACGCUAUGAAACCGAAGAACUCCUCCUGCUUAUCUGUAACUCCGAUGAAAUGGACUUUGACGAUGUCGUUUCUGUUAUCCAUGACGAUGAGGAGCUUCAACCUGGACAACCCUAUUUCGCGCUGCCAUUGGGCAAGUUGAAGCAACCGCUUCAGGCGGAGGAGAUGGCCGCUUUGGCUGUCAAGGCGAGGUCCGCCCUCAUGAGGAGUGGCGGAGACCAAUGCCAGUGUCGCCAAAAGUCUCCAUUGCCGGCCAUGUUUUCUGGCGAGAAGGACUCGAAGUCGUCCGGGAGAGUAGCUCCCGGCGGUGGUGUCGAAGGCGGAGGAGGCAGUGAGACGGAGGAGUACGUGGAUGCGCCGUGAAGAGGACGCACGUAGGCUGCCGUUCUCUGGCGCUUAUUCCGACGUGGUGGCGUCGCCAUUGCCGCCGCGGGAAGGUGGUGAUCGUGCUGAAGCCAGGCGCGGGGGGGCGUGCUGUGAAGAAGAUGAAGUUUGGGCUUGGGCUUGAGUUGGGGCACUAGGCCCAAUUUUGUGAUGGAGAUAGGUUUUGGGCUUACCUAUGUUGGUUUUUGGUUUUGGGCUUACCUAUGUUGGUUUUUGGUUUUGGGCUUGCCUAUGAUGGCUUUGGUUUUGGGCUUAAGUUGGAGCCCAGGCCCAAGUUUGCUGAUGGAAGGCCCCAUUGCUCCUUAUGCUAGCCACUCUCAUGGCCCAAGUCCAUGAUGAGUGAGCCCAUUUAGCUACUUCAUGUCCUAACAAGUUUUAAAUCUUUAAUCUUAGUAAAUUAUUAACUUAUUCAUGCAUUUUCAUUUUACUUUUUUUAUCUUAUUUUAUCUUCACUAAUUUAGUUAGCUCAAACUUAAAGACAACUUAAAGACAAAUUAUUAAUUAUAUUUUUAUCUCGAAAUUUAUACUAUUCAAUUUCACUAGCUUAAACAUUAUGAUUAUUAAUUAUUAUUAUUAUUUCGCAUGUAUCUAUUUAUCAUAUUUCAAAAAUCUCAUUUUAUUAAAGUUAAAAUUCUAAUCCUUCAAAAUCCUAUGUCUUAAUUUAAUUCUUCGAAUAUUUGUUUAAAUCUCAUUUUCAUCCAUUAGAAUUAUUUAUCUCAUAUUUAUCUAGCUAUUUAAAGUCUAAUCUUUUAAAAAUCCUAUGUUUUAAUUUAAUUCUUCAAUAAUCAGUUCAAAUUUCAUUUUCAUCCAUUAGAAUUAUUUAUCUCAUAUUUAUCUAGCUAUUUAAAAUCUAAAUCCUUUAAAAAUCUAAUGUCUUAAUUUAAUUCUUCAAUAAUUAGUUCAAAUCUCAUUUUCAUCCAUUAGAAUUAUUUACCUCAUAUUUACCUAGUUAUUUAUAGUCUAAUCCUUAAAAAAUCCUAUGUCUUAAUUUAAUUCUUCAAUAAUUAGUUCAAAUCUCAUUUUCAUCCAUUAGAAUUAUUUAUCUCAUAUUUAUCUAGCUAUUUAAAAUCUAAAUCUCUCAAGGAAAUCGUAUGUCUUAAUUUAAUUCUUCGAAUAUUUGUUUAAAUCUCAUUUUCAUUCAUUAGAAUUAUUUAUCCUACAUUAUCUAGCUAUUUAAAGUCUAAAUCUUUCAAGGAAAUCUUACGUCUUAAUCUAAUUCUUCAAUGAUUAGUUCAAAUCUCAUUUUCAUCCAUUAGAAUCGUUCGUCCCAUAUUUAUCCAGCCAUCUAAAGUCUAAAUCUUUCAAGGAAAUCAUGUCUUAAUUUAAUUCUUCAAUAAUUCGCUUAAAUCUUGUUUUCAUCAAUUAGAAUUAUUAUCAUAUAUUUACCUAAUUAUUCAAAGUCUAACCCUUCAAAAAUCUCAUGUCUUAAUUCAAUUUUUCAACAGUCCAUUCAAACCUUAUUCGUCUAAAUGUUAUCUUCCUUAAGUAGAAUUAUUAUCAUAUACCUAUUUAUUUAUUUAAAGUCCAAUUCUUCAAAAACCCAACGUCAUAAUUUAAUUUUCAACCCUAAAAAUUCCAUUAUUCUUUUUAUUAGUUUAAAUGUUAUUUUCAUUAAUUAGCAUUAUUAUCCUAUAUUAGUUUAUUUAUUUAAAAUCCAAUCCGUCAAAGAUCCAAUGCCCUAAUUUCAUUUUCCAAGUCCUAAAAAUUCCACUAUUCGUCUAAAUGUCAUUUUCGUUAAUUAGGAAUUAUUGUCUCAUAUUUAGUUAUUCAAAGUCUAAUCCUUCAAAAAUCCAAUGUCAUAAUUUAAUUUUCAAUCCUAAAAAUUUCAUUAUUCGUCUAAAUGUUAUUUUCGUCAGUUAGAAACUUCAUACUUGUUUAUCUCUUUUAAAAAUCUCAAUAAUUGAACUUAAUUUUCAACCCUAAAAGUUCCACUAUCCUUUUUUAUUCGUUUAAAUGUUAUUUUCGUCAAUUAGUAUUAUUACCCUAUGUUAGUUUAUUUAUUUAAAAUCUAAUUCUUCAAAAACCUCAUGUCUUAAUUUAAUUUUUCAAUCCUAAAAAUUCUAUAAUUUGUUUAAAUGUUAUCCUCAUCAAUUAGAAUCAUUAUCCCAUAUCUGUUUAAAGUCCAAUCUUUCGAAAACCCCAUGCCCUAAAUUUGACUUUCAAUCCCAGAAAUUCCAUCAUUCGCCUAAAUGUUAUCUUCAGUAAUUAGAAUUCUUAUCACCUAUCUAUUUAUUUGUUUAAGGUCCAACUCUUCAAAAAUUCAACACCUUAAUUUAAUUUUUAAUCUUAAAGAUUCCACUACUCAUUUUCUAUUCGUUUAAAAUAUUGUUUCCGUUAAGUAGCAUUAUUAUUCCAUAUUAUCUAUUUAAUCUAAUUGUUAAAGUUUAAUUCAUCGGAACCCGACUUCCAAAUCUAAUUUCCAACCUCAAAAGUUCUGCCGUCCAAAUAUCGUCGUUUAAUGAUUAUUCUCAUUAUUAAUGUUAUCCCAUCCACUUACUUAUUCAAUUACUCAUAUACCAAAGAUCUCAUCCCUGAACAAAUUCUUAAGUUCUCAAACUCUAAGUUCACAUCUUCAAAUCUCUAAAAUUCCAUCUUUUGCAAUUAUUUACCUAAUCUUUAUUGCUUCACCACUAUUAUUAUUCCAUUCCUUUACUUAUUCACUCAUCCACUUACCUACUCGUUUAAAAUCUCGAACUCUCAAAUCAUUUCCAAAAUUCCAAUUUCUUUAAAAUUUAAUUUCUAAAAAUUCUCAUUCUUACAUUUAAUUCCUAAAAAUCCAAUUUUCAAAUAAUCUCCAAGACUAAUUUUCAAAUGAAUUUCAAAAAAUCUAGUUUUCCCUUGAACAAUUUUAGUUUCUGUUUGGUAAUGCAAGUGAUAUGUUUUAUGCUCUUUAUUAUACACUGACCCCAUUUUUAUGAUAGCGCAUUGCUCGAUCGUGGCCCAGGUACGCAUCCAUUCCAUUUCUAGUCAUUUUAUAUGCACGUUUUGAUUCCCAUAUAUGCAUGAUCGAUUCGAGUAUCCAUUGAUUUUCCUAUUGAUUGCCACGUCAGCUUCAUUUUAUUAGUAGAGACCCGACUUUAGGGACUUAGAGGGGUGCUAUAGUUUUUACCGUACCUUCCCGAUAAGUAACCUAACCCCCGAACCCGAUCCGGUUUUUUUGUAGAUCACCUUUUCCAAAAUAAGGAGUCGCACUUAGAGUUUUCUUUCUUAUUUUGUUUACCCUUUUAAAAUAGAACAAAAAUAAGUGGCGACUCCAAGUCAUUUUCUAAUAAAUAAAAUUGUUUUUCAAAUAAAAUCAAGUUCGUCAUCGAGUGGAAAACGCGUGAGCCGAAAUGCGAGGUCCACACUUACUUUUUCCUUAUUUCAUACCUAAGGUAGAUGCCUUACAAAAUAAUUAUUUGAUAAAAAAAAAUUGAUUAUUUUGAAAACAAUGUAAUCAAUUUUCACUUUUACUAACUGAUUAGAGUGUUUUACAGAAAAUAUAGGGAUGGAAAAUAGAUAGUUCAAAAUAGAUCAAAUCUCAUAUUCUUAUCUUUAUUCUAAUAAAAAUUUUAUACAAAAUUGGGUGGAGUACAAAAAAAUAAUUAUGAGAAUUUCUCAUAUUUUGUCUGUCUUGUACUAUUAUUAUUAUUUCUAAAAAACCUAAAUAUUAAUUAUAUUAAAACUAAAAAUAAUAGGCAUAAGAUAUAAAAAAUAAAAGGAAAAUAUGAAAAAUAAAAUAUUUUUUUUAAAAAAAAUUAAUUAUAUAUAGAAUAGGGAUAAGAAAUAAGAAUAAGGAAAUAUUGAACCGAGUUUUCUUUUUCCUUUUUUAAAUAAAAAAUAAAAAAAUCUCAAACCAGUUCUAAUAGGGGUAAGGUGGGUAAGUACCUAAAAAACCCACUUCAGCCUCGUUUCAACACAAAAACGAAUAGUUUUGCUAAACUAGGUGGAGGAAGAUCAUGGACUUACGUAUAGAUUAUUUUUUAAUAAAUAAAUAAUUUAUUAUCCUUUGAAGCUUAAAAAAAUAAAAAUAGUUUUUUAACCUAUAAGACAUGUUAAAUAAACUUUUGAUAAAGAAAAUUUUCAUGAUAAUUUGUUUUGAAAAUGAAUUGUUUUUCGGAACAAAUUUGAGAUUUUUUUAUUGUUUUUUGAAAAAGAUUUUAAUUAAUAAUUUAAAAUAAAAAAUAAUUUAAACAAAUAGUUUCAUAGAAAAUAAAGUUAGAAACUAUUUUUCAUAUUUAAGUUCCAAAUAUAUUUUUAUUUCUAAAAAAAUGAAUUUUUUUUUUAAGAAUCAUUCUCAAAAACUAUUAUUUGAGAAUUGUUUUUAAAAUAUUACUAAACAAGCCCUUACAAUUUUUAAUUUUUCCAUCCUAUAUAUAAUGUUAAUCAUAAUUAAAGUAUAACUUGUCUAAGCCUAAUUAGAUUUUUGGAGAAGUGUAGGUUAUAUGUGCCAAGUGUUACACUUGGAAUCAGUUUUUAGAUCCAUUGUCCACUUAUAGAAAAUGGUUUUAUUUUUUUUAGAACAUCAAAAUAAUAUUCUAACUCAAUAGAAAAUAUAUUUUUAAAGAAAAAAUUAUUCGAACAAGUUUCAAUUUUUUUUCUUUUUAUAAAAUAUCCUAAACAUAAUUGAAAGAUGAGAAUACUUUGUACAUUAUUUUCGUAAAAAGUAAGUCUAAAUUUUUUUUUUAUACCUAUGUUUCUAAACAAAAUUUCGUUUUGAUCGAAAAAUAAUUUAUAACAACUAUUCUAAAAAGAAAUGUAUUGUACUCAUAAACAUUGCUAUAUAUGCAUGUUCUAAAUUCAUAUUUAAUUUGAAAGAAAAACUAAUUUUCUCACCAUUAUUUUAAUUAUCACCAUAUCCUCUUCUUCGAACUUGAAAUCAAGUUGAAUUGAUGAUUAUUAAAAAACAGGAGUGUCUGUGAUAUUUUAUAUGGGACAAUUGUGUUUUGGACCCAACUAGGCUCAAAAAUUAAGAUUUGACCCAUAAAAGUUGCAUAAUUGAUGGGAAUGAUAUAAAAUGUGAAAAGACCAAUAUACUCUUCAAAACUAUUUUGAGUAUUUUCUACCACAAUGUUUUAUAAUAUUUUUUACCUUUAUUUUUUUUAAUAAUUAUUUUGAAAUUUUAUUAUUUUUAGAAAACUAUUUUUUUUAAAUAUAUAUUCUAAAAAUAUAUCAUUUAAAAAUAAUAAUUUUGACAUAUUUUUAGUUAUUUUUUACAUACAUAAUUUUAAAAAUAUAUAUUUUUCAUAUUUGUAGACCCCAUUUUGGGGCUCAUUUGUUGUAGUUUAUCUUGCCAGUUGGAGGGCUCUUAAGGAGCCACGUGUUGCCUCAAGAGAGGGUGUUAAAUAAUCAUAUUAGUGGGUAGAGGAUGCAAUGGAGAAAAGACAAGUGUUGAAGGAAUAUUUUGGGGGGAGUGUAUUCUAUUAGAUAGGGACAGUGAGGCAGUUAGAGAGGGGGAAGAGAUUUUGUUGUUGGUUACAGAGAGGUUUUAGGAUAGCUUAGAGGGCAAGACAUCCAGAGGAGGGGGGGAGGAGGGAAGAGCAAGAGAACUUGAGGAGAAAGAUAGCUAAAAAAGAAAAACAGAGAGUUAUAGGAAGGAAGAGCGUUGUAGGGUUGAUAACUUGAGGAGCAAAUUGGUUUGGGAGGAAGGACUGAGAGAAACAAGCUGGGUAUUCCGGAGACAGUGGGUGUGAGACUGUGAGAGAACAUCUGGAGGAGAAAAUUAGUUGGAGGUUGCUUGAAGGAGGAAAAGAAAACUUGAAAGAAUUUUUUCCAGGUACAUUUGUUGUAGCCUCUUGGAUUGCUUUUACUCAUCAUUUUUUUUUUUUUAAUCUUUCAUUCUCUCUAGUUGUCUCUGAUUUUCUGGGCAUCGGUCAAUUGUUUGGGCAUUAGUAUGAUGUUGUAUUACACUUCUCUCAUAUUUGUUUAUUUGAAUAUGGCUCAUUCCCAUAGUAGGAGUUUGUUGAUGCUCUCAUUUUGAUAUUUGUUAUGAACUAUCCUACUGCACCACUGGUCGGCGAAUCCCUGGAUUUCAACAUGAAAAGGGAUCCCACUUAAUAUUCUGCUCACUCUAUUUACUUGGUUCUGGGUAAGCUGUAUCCUGUUUUGCACACUUCUUUACUUCCGGCACCUCAAUUCAUAUCCCUUUUUAUGGCUUAUAUCUUCAAAUUUGCUCUGGACGAUUGGUUGUGUGUUUUGAUCUGUGCUUGAGGAGAGAGGGUUGUGUGUUGGCUUACUACUCUAGAUCCGUGACCCCAGUGGACGAGAUGUAUACAUGUGUUAUAUUAGCUCUUAUUUUGGCUGCUGGGUAUGCCACUGAUGCAUUUGGGAUCCAAGUUCUAUGUAAUUGGUUUUUCCAUGGGUGGACAGGUGAUUUGGAGUUGCCUCAAGUAUAUCCCUCAUAGGCUGGUAGGUGCAACACUAAUAGCUCUAGUGGUCAACUACUGGUGGCCUAGUUUUCCUACAAACUUAUCUAAAGAAGCCUACUACCAAUAGUUUCGGUAGGAUUAGUGGGCGCUUCGUGUUGCUCACUACACACCGUGGCUUACUUACCGGUGGAACACUCAAAAGUGGUUUUCUGCUUGUAGUGUUGCAGAACACAACACUAAUAUUCUUUCUCGCCCAGACAAAGAGCUCAUGCCUAAGCUUUCAAAGAUAAAGGAAUAUAUGGCGUAGGUGAGACAACAAGGAGAAUUUGAGUCUAUCCACCGUGACUUGAUGAUUAGAUUUGGAACUUGGGAAUUUGAUCCCAUGGAUCUGAAGAACCCAUUCCCAAACAAUGAAGGUUCUAUCCACCUAUGGCAUGGAGAUGAAGAUGCAAUUGUGCCUGUUUCACUGCAAUACUACAUUACCCAACAACUCCCAUGGAUCAUAUUUGUAGAUAUCCAUCUGUUUGAUCAGCUCAAUGGGCAGAGACCUCUGCUGAAUCUUCUUCUUUAGGUAGAACCUCACAAGCUCCUCAUUUAUGGGAUGAAACCUAAAGCCAUGCAGCAUAACAUCAUCCAUUUUAUCAGCAUCAUUCCUCUCAUCCAUCAUCCAUUUUCUUCCCUGAUUUCCUCAAACCUGAUUAGGAAUUAGAAUCAAUGAACUCUCUAAGCUGAUAUGGUAGUGAGCUUUUUGGAAAACUAACACCAACCCAUCAAUGGAAAUUACAAUUCACUUUAUUCAAAGCCAUUAUAUGCCUUAUGAUAAGAAGCUUGACUACGCAGCUUGAGCCAGGUUUUAUGGUGGUUGUAAGGGGGAGUGUUUAUCAGUGAAUAUCACAAUGACUUGGUGAUAAGAAUAGCUAAAGGAAAGCUCUGUGAAGAACAACUAGUUACGAGAGAGAGAUAUUCAAAGAAGAGGUUAGAUUCAAGGAGAAACGGAGGAAAGAGUCCCAAGUUUCCUUCCUUAAAGCCUGAAAGUAAAAAUCUAGUGGAUGAAUCUUUGAAAGCUAAUGAAAAGAAAGAAGAAAAAUCCAAGAAAGGUGAUGGUGAUAAGGUGAGAAAGGGAAUGGAGAAGGGGUCUAAGAAAAAUGAGGUGAAAUCUUAGAAAGGGCCGUUAAGAGUUGGACUGGACAUGUGCUAAAAAAAUGGGGAUGUUAUGUGUGCGCUUGAACUAUAUGGUUUGGCUCUAAGGAAAUGAAUUGAAUUAGGGCAAUAUCACUAUAUUGUUCUUUUGUAUCUUUGUUCUUUAGCAGCACUUGGUGUUAUUUAACCUGCAAAAAGUGGAACUGGUAGCCGGAGUUUGGACAUGCUGAGCCCUUCUAGUGAAGCUCAUGGUGAGGUUUCCGAAGAUUUGGCAGAAUUUGGGGACACGAGCAAGAAGAAUUCUGAAGCAUUUGAAGUAGCAAAAGAUGAUUUGGAUGGUAGUUUCACUGAAAUGGACAAGUUAUCUCUAGUCUUUAAUUGCUUUAAUAAGUCAAAUAGUCAACUUUUGGAAGGUCAAAAGCAUUUAAGAAAGGGUGUUGAUGACUCCACAAAUAUAAAAGAAGAUAAUGAAAUUUGGGUAAGUGAAGAUUUCAAGAAGUAUGCACUCCGAAGUGGAUUUCAAGAAGUCCCAAUGAAUGAAGCAACCUUGACAUCGUUGGUGAGAAUGGCAAUGUCCAUGGGUAAUGGUGACAUGGCUUUUGAUAUGGUAAAGCAAACGAAACCACUGGGGAUAAAUCCUAGACUACGGUCUUAUGGUUCUGAACUUUUUACUUUCUGCAACAAUGGAGAUAUUGAGAAAGCAUUUGGUGUUGAAGAACGCAUGUUGGAGCAUGGUGUCUAUCUUGAAAAGCCAAGUUUUAUACCGAUUUUACUAGAACAAGAGCAACCUGAUGAACAAAUGUAUUCCCUUGCAGCCAUGCCAUCGUCCUUGACUGCACAAAAAUUUCUUCCAAAUGCAGUCCCCGUUGGUCAUUUCCUUGGAUUGAUGCACAUACCAUCUUCUAUUCAACUAGUAAACCAACAACUUGCACUAAAUUUGCCUACAACUGCCUGCCUUGGUGAAAAAUCACUUCCAUGUCACGAUGCCAAUGAUGCAGGGAGCUGCUAGGUUUCCUUCCUAGAUAGGCACCAAUGUCAAGGGGAUGGAAUGAUCCAUUUUUUGAGGCUGAUCGGCGAUAAAUAGCCAAACAAGCAACUGCCUUUAAGCGAGUACAUCCAAUAUUGCAUUUGCUUGCUAGUUCACUGCCAUCAACCCAAGUUGCUAGGUUGCUUACAAAUUAAUUCACAACUAGUGCACCGACUGCACCACAACAGACAUUUGCAUCAACUUCAUCUGGUAAUGGGUUCUCACUUUUUUGGUAUUUCAUCUUCUGCUCCAUCUAUCAUCCACCUACAUCCAAACUUCUGCCAAGUCACCUUUGUUGACCUCACAUGUAGACUGUACAAGUCUAUGGUUUGAGUUUGAGGCAAAGUUUUUCCGAAUUUGAUGAUUCAGAUUCAAAGGAAGGUUUCCUAACCGAUUCAUAGGAUGGUAGAGUGAACACAGUAGCACUCUGGGUUUCAUUCCUACAUGGUUAUCCCUCACCAUCUCUCUCACUUAUGCACAUAUGCAUGGCCACCUUUGGGUCACGUGUCACUCUUCCAUUUCUUCAUCCUUGCUUUUAAAAAAAAUAGUUUCCGAAACCCUAGUUUGCCAAUAAUUUUCCAAAUUCUAGUUUUUCAAAUAAUUUCAAUUCUUCAAAUUUUCAUUCUUAGAAUUUUUAGGUCCCAAAAGUCCCGUUUUUCAAUAAAAAUUUGCUGUCAUUUUCUUUGGUGGGGGCAAUUUUCACAUUUUCUUUUAUUUUUAAAAUGUUUUGAAAUAAACGUGGAUUUAAUUUCGUAAUUCCGAAUAAUGGAAAUUCAUAGGAUUAAUUCAUGCAAAAAUAAAUCGGGCUUUGGUGGGGGCAAUUUUCAUAUUUUCUUUGAUUUUAAAAUAAGCAUGAAUUUAUUUUUGUAAUUCCAAGUGAUGGAAUUUACAGAAUUGAUUCAUGCAAAAAUAAAUCAGGCUUUGGUGGGGGCCCAAUAUAUGUGAUUUUCUCAUUGAUUGAUUGCUAUACAUGACAGACUUAUUUCACUCUAUGACAUGCAUGCGAUUAUGUUGUGUUUGUUUACUAAUCUUUGUUUUCCAUGAAGAAAAUCAGCUCAUCACUCAGGUACAUUCUUGGCCUCUCUUGUUCAUUCGAUUAUUUUGUUUUGAUUGAUAUUCAUUCGGUAUCCAUAUUUGAUCAAUCAAUUGCCAUACUUGCUUCAUCUCAUCAGUAGAGACUCGUUUUUAGAGACUUAGAGGGGUGCUACGGUCUUUAUCGUACCUUCUCAAUAAGUAAGCUGACUCCCAAGCCCAGAUUUGGUUUUUCAUAGACCACCUUUUCCAAAAUAAAGAGUCACACUUAGGGUUUUCUUUCUUAUUUUGUUUACCCUUUUUAAAAAAUAAAUAAAUAAGUGACGACUCCAAGUCAUUUUAUAAAAAUAAAUCAUUUUUAAAUAAAAAGCAAGUUCUCCAUCAAGUGAAGACGCAUGAGCAGAAAUGCGAGGUCUACAAAAUGGCGACUCCACUAGGGAUCACUAAAGGGUCAAGCUUGAACUUAAGAUGAAGCAAAUGUGGUGUUUGAUUGGUCGAUCAAUAGGUACCCAUCUCUCUUUGUGCUUUUGUUUGCUUGACUACUGAUUGCACAUUGAGAGUUUUUUAUAUCAUUAUCCUGGAUACAUGUUUGGUUAUUGUGCUCAUUUGGGACAUUGACAUGUUGAUUAUGUUGAUUGAUUAUCUUGCUUGAGGAUUCUGAUGUAGCGAUUUUUCUAUGCUUCAUUGCUAUAUCUGUUUGGGACAUUGACAUGCUGAUUAUGUUGAUUGAUUAUUUUGCCUGUCUUAGCAUAGUGACUUUGAUUUUGCCAUGAUUGUUCUGCUCACCUCACAUGUAUAGACUUACUGUUGUAUAUCAUUUGACUUGAUGUGUUGAUUCUCUAGCUUGUAUAUUAUCUUGAUCAUCUUUGAGCAUGUUAUCUUUAUCACUAUUCAUCUUGAUUAUCAUAACUUGUAUGUGGACAUAAGUGAUAUAUAUGUACUUUGCUUGACUGUAUGGUGCAUGACUGCCCUCCUCUAUGUGAUUGCAGGUCGCUUAUUCAUGUGGGCCGCAUAUCUAUUCCCUUAUCUUCAACCCUCUGGUUUCAGUCAUCUCCUUCGUCUCGGCUCUUACUUUUGCAAGUGUGAGGCCUUGUGUGUACUUGUUUCUCUUACUGAGCUAGAGAUUAGGAGUAGGGACUAGCGAUGGGUUAUAUUGAUGGUUGGGAGCAUUCUGGAAGAGACCGACAUAUUGAUACUGAUUGAAGUCCUGAUCAUUGAAGACCUGUAUAGCCUAGAGCUAGGUUUCAUGGAUAUUUGUGCGAUCAAUAUGUUUCCUCUUUUGCUUUAGCUUCAUAGGAUUUUCGGAUGCACCCAUACCGCUCACUGUGCACUCUAGUUGACUAUUAAGUGUUGAGAGUUUCGCCAUAGGGAACUCCCUAGGAUGUCGAGGUAGUGCAUGUGUGGAGGUAAUGACCGCUUUGCAUGGAAGCGCCCUGUCUCUUCGGAGACGUGCAGAGGGUUGCGUACCGCCGGAAGGUAUGAUCGCUUCUACUAAAGAUCUUUUAAAGUCCACCCACAUCCUCUUAGAGCCACCUUGACCUUAUAGGUUAAGCCGUAGAUCCUUCGAUUAGGACUCAUUUCCUACACAUGGAUGCAUCUAAGGGACUUCAGAGCCUCUUUGGUCACGAUUUGGAUUCAGUACUCCCUCUUUUAGUCUCUAGUUGAAAAUGCACUGAGAUUAGUGCGAGUUUGAGUUAUAGUCAGACAGUCCGUCUACACUUUGAUGUUUUGCUCAUUUCAAUUCAGAUUAGCAUUUCUUCCGUGUUUUCCCUUGCCAUACCCUUAUUCCGUUUCUCAUGUUCCAGGAUCAACACUUUGUUCUCAGUCUAGAUUUACCAUCUUCUGUCAGAGUAGAGAGGAGAUUAGUUCGAUUUUCAGAGAGAUCAGACAUGGAUCAGCAGUUUGUCACAGUUGAUCAGUUAACGACCGUCAUGGCUUCUAUUCAAAAGGCCUUGGCCAGUCUCAGGCAGGAGAUAGGCAGUCAGCAGAGUAGACUACUCGUAGUUCAUACCGAGACGCCUUAUGACUCAUUGCCACCUCCACCACCACCUGUUUCGAUAGUGCCACAAGCCUCAUCUUAUCUAUUACAUGGUCAUUCUGAGAUUGCCCCGCCUGUAGUAGUACAGACCACAGUCAUUGAUGAUACUCAUGCACGUAUGGACCGUAUUGAGCAGCAUAUUGGAUAGUUGAGGGUAUCUGACAGUUCAACUAUUUGGGAUGAUCUUGAGGGUAUGCUAGUGGCCAGUUUACUGGCCAAGUUUAGGAUGUCCGACAUUGAGAGGUACACGAGCAUUGGUUGUCUUCACAUUCACCUGUAACUUUACAGCACGGUGAUGAGGGCUCAUGGGUUAGAUGAGUCACAUAUGAUCACCUUAUUCCCACUAUCUUUGAGUGGAGCGGCCCAGCGUUGGAUCGCAUCUUUGGAGUCCUCACGGCACAGGACAUGAGAUGACUUGGCCCAGGAGUUUUUGCUGCAGUUUUCAUUUAAUACUGUCAUAGAUGUGUCGAGAAGAGAGCUUAAGGUUCUGAGACAGAGAUCAGAUGAGUCUGUUUCUUCAUUCAUAUCCCGCUGGCGCGAGAAGAUAGCUGAGAUUAUGGAUACAGAUGGUUUUGAGGAGUCUAUAAUCUAGGAUCGCUAGACAUGUGGUCGGAGUGCCUUUCACAGACUUUGGCUAUCUGGUUUUGGCUCUAUAUGAUGUAGAGGAUGGUAUUUCGAGAGGAUUAUAGACAGAUUCUACCCAUAUUGAUGUUAAGGAAAAGAAACCAUCUGGAUAACAGAGAUCAGCUGAUGUGAGUGCUAUCAGUUCUACCAGUCAGAGGCCUCCCAGGCAUCAUCAGCCAGUUCCACAGCUUAUUAGGACUCACCUUUCUUAUGCACCUCAACAGUAUAGGCCAUGAGCACCUCAUCAAUCUUAUGAUCAGACUUACAUGCCACCCACCCUAGCACUACCUCAUUAUGCCGUGCAGGGCAUAAAGAGACCUCCUGCUUUAUAUCAUGCUCCAAUGCAGCCACUAUGCAACAUAGUUUGCCAUGAGACCCACAACAUCCUAUCUCAGGCCUAGAACUCAACAGACUUCUACUCUUUUUUCUUUGAGAACUCAGAGAUAGUUUUCACAGUUAGAUAUGUCGUUGAGCUAGGCUCUUUGGAAGCUCACAGGGGUCGGGUUGUUGAUGGCUCUCACUCCUAGGCCAUUGCUUCAGCUUGUCUCGCCUCAGUUUAGAAUGGAUCUACACUGUGCAUAUCAUCAAGGGCCAAGGCAUGAAACUAACCAUUGUACUGCUCUGAGACAUGCCAUUCAGGAUCCGAUUUAUUAGGGUUUGGUUCACUUGGAUCAGCCAAGUGUAACCACAAACCCAUUACCGGCCCACACUACACAUGCAGUUCCCUCUCCGAUCAAUGGCACACAUUUCCUUGACUUCGCUGAGCUUGACGAUCACAUCCACAUGUUGAGUUGGGAUGAGUCAAAGCCUGAGCCCAUAGUAUCAUAUGAGAUUUAUGAGAUAGACGAAGUGACCUUGAGCCCUCGGAUGCCCACACUAUUCAGACUAGUUCCUGAGGCGACAUCAGUACAGACAACCACUGUCGAGCCAUUGACUUUCCCACAUUACAACGUUCAGACGCCAUUCGUCUUGGUUCUAGAUGUUGAGGUGGUUCAGACUUGGUAUGUUAAUGUUUCUCAUACUCCCGAUGUACAGUAUAUUCUUUGUGGAGACAUGGUAUUAUGACAGCUGCUAGACUCUUGGAUGGGACAUCCGCUCCUGAGGAGGUCAGAAGAGAGGAUGAUGAGAUUCUGAGGCAAUUACAAAGCACACAGGCUCGUAUUUCUAUUUGGAAUUUGUUGGCAUCUUCCAACACUCAUAAAGAUGCAUUGACUAUAGCCUUGAGCCAGAUCAAAGUCGAGACUACCACUACUCCGGAGAGGUUGAUUCACAUGAUGAGGGCUGGUAGAGCCACUUGCAUAGUGUUUACUGUUGAUGACUUGCCUCCAAAGGGUUCGGACCAUACACGUCCACUGUAUAUCUCAAUCGGUUGUUCAGGCCACCGAGUCCCAUUUAUCCUUUUGGACAAUGGCUUAACCCUGAACAUUUGUCUUCUAGCCACUGCCAUCGCCCUUGGCUAUGCACCCUCUAACUUUGGUCCCUCCACUUAGACAGUCUAAGCAUAUGAUAGCACUAGGAGGGAGGUUAUGGGCACUUUGGAGAUUGAGUUGUUGAUAGGUCCGACCAUAUUUCCCCAUUUGUUCCAAGUUUUGAGGAUUCUUACAUCCUUUAACCUGUUAUUGGGUCGACCUUGGAUCCAUAGAGCUGGGGUCAUUCCUUCUUUCCUUCAUCAGAAGGUAAAGUUCAUUCAUGAUGGCCAGGUUGUCACUGUGCAGUCUGUCGGAGAUAUGUUUAUUUCUUCUGAACCAGUGCUUCAGAUCAGCCACAGUGAUGACGACCUAUUUCUGACUAGGUUCACAUUCAAUGAGGAGCAGACCCUGGAGAUGGAAGAUUUUUGCCAAGACUUCGUGGCUAUAUCGUUUGACUAGCAUGGUAGCAUAGUGGUACUCGACAUGAUGAAAAACAUGUCUUAUUUACCUAGCAUGGGGUUGGAGCGACGUCAGCACUGGCCCAACGAGUUUAUGGCUAUCCUAGAUCACGAUGUACCGUUCGGACUCGAGUUCUUUCUUACUAAGGUUGAUUAUCGAUAUAUGGCACGAUUGCGCAAGAAGAGGGUGAGGGCCCGAUUGACUGAUACACCCUUUGACUAUCUUGUUUACUCAUACACCAUGAGUUUGGCGGACUACUUUAUGAGGGCAUUGAAGCUACAGAAGCCUUCAGAUGGGAUCAUUGGGGGAUUUAGCACUGUUUAGGAGGCCAAGCUUCAACGUCUUGUCCAUAAGCUAUAGUUGAGUGAUGGAGCUCCAGGCAUUUCGGCGUCUGCAUUGGUCACCCUAUCAUCUUCAGAUCGUAUGAGCCUUAUAAAGCUCUAUUUCCCAGAUGAGAUCAAUGAGCACGGGACCUUUGUUGAGAUCGGAGAUGUAGUGGAUGGAGUUGUUCCACAUGACGAGUACAUUGAUGAGAUGCUCGUGCUGAGUAUGAGCCAGAUCAAUGAGAUAGUUCAGUCUGUUGCUGAUUUGUUUGAGGGCACUAUUGGCCCAGUUAAGGGAGCGUCUGACUUUGUGGAUCCACAUCUUUCAUUUGAUAUUUUAUCAGGAUUUGUCUCCCAUUUUGACGAUGUUCAUGACUCUUCAUUUAUGGAUUUGAGCAUUUUCGAGUAUAUGCUUGUCUUUUGUGAUAUUACUUUAUCCGCACCCUCUUUACCCACAUCACAAUAUUUGAUUUAGAUAAUGAGAUUGUACAGCAUGAUUCAGAUGAUGACUCAUCUUUUGCUUCUGAUUCAGGCCCCAUUUAUCAAAGAGUUUCACAUGUUAUAGGAGAUACUGAGGUUUUUGAUUUCGGUAUAGCAGAUCAGCCUAGGGAGCUGAGGAUUGGAGUGGAUUUAUCUACAGAUGAGAAAGAUAGCCUCAUCCAGCUGUUUAGAUCAUAUUUGGACGUUUUCGCAUGGUCUUAUGAGGACAUGUCAGGCCUUAAUCCAUCUAUCAUCCAACAGCGUUUUCCGUUUUUACCCCAUGUUAGAUCGGUUAAGCAAAAGUUGAGACGAUUACACCCUCCCUAGAGUUUAUAGGUGAAGGAGGAGAUUCAGAAGCAACUCAAUGUAGGAUUUUUAUCAGUGGUCGAGUAUCCCGAGUGGCUGGCCAAUGUCGUCCCUGUUCUAAAAAAAGACGACUAAGUGAAAGUUUAUGUUGAUUUUCGAGAUCUUAACAAGGCUAGUCCUAAGGAUGAUUUUCCUCUCCCACACAUUGACAUGCUAGUUGACAAUACGACAGGCCAUUCGAUGUUGUCCUUUAUGGAUGGUUUUUUUAGGUACAGUUAGAUUCUAAUGGCUCCCGAGGACAUGGAGAAGACGUCCUUCAUUACCGAGUGGGGUACUUAUUGCUAUAGAGUCAUGUCAUUCAGGUUAAAGAAUGCAAGAGCUACCUAUCAGAGAGCAUCGACCACCCUCUUCCAUGACAUGAUGCAUCGGGAUGUCGAGGUUUAUGUAGAGAUCAAAGGCUUCUUGGGUAGACUCCAGUACAUCAGCAAAUUCAUUGCCAGAUUGACAAACAUUUGUGAGCCCAUUUUCUGACUCUUAAGGAAGAGUCAACCUACUGUUUGGGAUGAUAAGUGCCAGUGCGCUUUUGAGAGGAUUAGAGAGUACUUGUUGUCACCUCCAGUCUUGGUGUCUCCUACAUCGGGCCAUCCUUUACUCCUAUAUCUGUCAAUCUCAUAUGUAGCCUUGGGAUGUAUGUUAGCUCAGCUCGAUGAUUCAAGAAAUGAGCAAGUCGUUUAUUAUAUGAGUAAGAGGAUACUAGAUUAUGAGAUGAGAUAUGUCAUGAUUGAACGCUACUAUUUGGCAUUGGUUUGGGCCACUCGCAAACUGAGACAUUACAUGACCAAGUAUCCAGUGCAUUUGAUAUCUUGUCUAGAUCCCUUGAGAUAUUUGUUUGACAAACCCGCUUUGGUCGGUCGCCUCAUUAGAUGGUUGGUACUUCUGAUUGAGUUUGACAUCCAUUAUGUCACUCAAAAGUCCAUCAGAUGGAGCAUUGUUGCAGAUCACCUAGCCUCAUUACCAGUUUCUGAUGGUAGAGCUAUUGAUGAUGAUUUCCCAGAUAAGGAUGUUGCUGUUGUGACCAGUCUGUCAGGUUGACGCAUGUACUUUGAUGGUACAACCAACCAUACUAGAUACAGGAGUGGUGUUUUAUUGAUACCCCAUCAUGGUGAUCACAUCCCUAAAUCUGUUCGUUUGGCAUUCUCGAAUCAACAUCCUGCCACAAAUAAUAUUGUUGAGGAUGAAGCCUGCAUCUUAGGAUUAGAGACAACUCUUGAGCUCGGUAUUAGACAGAUGGAGGUGUUUGGUGACUCCAACCUGAUAUUGAAAUAGAUUUAGGGCGAGUAGAAGACUAGAGAUGUGAAGCUUAGGCCUUACCACACAUACUUGGAGCUAUUAGUUGGGAGAUUUGAUGAUUUGAGAUAUACACAUCUACCUAGAGCACAGAACCAGUUCGUUGAUGCCCUGGCUACUCUAGCUUCCAUGAUUGAUAUUCUUACUGAUGCCAUUAUUCGCUCUUUACUGAUUGAGUCGAGAUUUGUUCUUGCAUAUUGUUGUCUGAUUGACGAGACAGAGUUAGAUGAUGGCUUACCUUGGUACCAUGACAUAUAUCACUUUUUGAGACUUGGAGCCUAUCCUGAGGCCUCCAUGGCCAAGGAUAAGAGAGCAUUGAGACAGUUAGUUGCUCGAUUUGUGGUGUGUGGGGAGACAUUAUACAGACGAUCAGUUGAUGGGAUGUUAUUAUUAUGCUUAGACCACGCAUCUGCAAAUCAAGUGAUGAGAGGGGUUCAUGCGGGAGUCUAUGGACCACAUAUGGGAGGGCAUAUGUUAGCUCAUAAGAUCAUGAGGACUGGCUAUUUCUAGUUGACCAUGGAGACAGAUUGCUGCCAGUUUGUCCAGAGACAUCUCGAGUGUCAGAUAUAUGGAGACCUCAUUCACGUGUCACCCUUAGAGUUACAUGCAUUGACUUCACCAUGGCCAUUUUCAGUAUGGGGUAUAGACAUCAUUGGGAAGAUUUCACCAAAGUCUUCUAAUGGUCAUGAGUUCAUCUUGGUCGCCAUUGAUUACUUCACCAAGUGGGUGGAGGCCGCCUCAUAUACGAGAUUGACAUCAAUUAGGGUUGCUAGUUUCAUCAAAUCACACAUUAUCUAUCGAUAUAGAGUCUCUCAUGAGCUGAUUUCAGAUAGAGGUGUACAUUUCAGGGCAGAGGUUGACACCUUGCUGCAAAGAUAUGGUAUCCAGCAUCAUACGUCAUUUGCAUACAGGUCGCAGACGAACGGGGUAGUAGAGGCCGCGAAUAAGAAUAUUAAGAAAAUCUUGCAAAAGAUGGUUGAGACUUCUCGGGAUUGGUCAGAAAAUCUCCACUUUGCAUUGUGGGCUUAUCGAACUUCUUUUCGCACCUCUACAAGAGCCACACCCUACUCCUUGGUGUAUGGUAUGGAAGCAGUGCAACCAGUUGAGAUUGAGAUGGGUUCAUUGAGGAUAACACUAGAGCAGCAUAUUUCAUAGGUAUAUUGGGCUCAGGUCCGAUUAGACCAGCUUAAUCUCAUAGAUGAGAGAAGAUUGAAGGCAGCAGACCAUGUUCAUGCAUAUUAGAGGAAGAUGGCCCGCACUUUCAAGAAAGAGGUCAAGCCUAGACCAUUACAGAUAGGUGAUUUAGUCUUGAAAGUCAUCAGAGGAUUGAUCAGAGAUCCUAGAGGAAAGUUCAGACCCAGUUGGAGCAAACCUUAUUUCAUUAGAGAGUUGACCCUAGAGGGCGCUGCAUGGUUGAUGGAUUUAAAUGGAAGCCAAUUCUCAGAGCUGACCAACGUGGAUCAACUAAAGAGAUACUAUGCUUGAGACCAUGGUUGCAUGAUGGGUGGCCAUCAUUUCGGUUAGCCAUACACCCUUUUACCAUUUUGAUAUAUAGACCGUUGCUAACCCAUUGAGCCUUGCAUGUGCAUUAUAACUUUUCUUUCUUAUUGCCUUGCUCACUUUUUGCACUGGGAUAAGAGCCCUUUAGUGUAUGUAUGCUCGGUUUAGGAGUUUCAUGAGCCUUGGACCUAUGGGCGCAUUUUUCUCAUUAUCUUUUCCUAACACUGUAUCACUACAUUUCAUCUCAUCUCAUUGGUUGUGUUCUUCAUCUUUUUCUUUGUUAUAUUAACUGCUUAUUCUGCAUCAUCACCUUCCAUCCCGAGUGGUAAUCCUUCUCAGUUCAUUACAUAAGAGGUAGUCAUGUCAUUCCCACUAUCUAUUUCACGGACAUUGAUCUAAGGAUCAUUAGUUUGAGCAGGUCAUCUUCUUAGAGAGAGUUUACGCUACUUUAACAUUUGAGAGUAUGAUUAUCCAUUUUUGACCUCAUCUUUGGAGCCUCUUUGUUUGCGUUUAGAGCAUGCACAUUUGUAUAUAUGUAAAAAAAAAUGAAAAAUAAUAAGCGCAUGCGUGUAGUAUUCUCCAUCAUUGAGCAUGUAUAUUGAUGUUCGAGGGUCAUUUUAUUGAGUAUGUUUUUACUGGAGUUCGUAUGCGAGCUUCCUGAGACCCUCCAUUUUAUGUAUUCAUUUUGUCGUAUAUUUUGAGAGUGAGAUGAGUGACUUUCUCUUAGGAGUUCUGGGUCAUUGGCUUUUCCAUCAUUACGUUCAUUGUUGAUGUGGCUUCCCUUCAUAUUUGAUUUGAGCGGAUCAUCACUACUUUUCAUGUUCUGCAUUUCACCAUUAUCCUCACUUUUGCUUUCGAUUCAUCAUCUUCAUUUUACCAUUUGUUCCUUCCUUACAACGACCCAUUCCAAGUUUGGUACUUCCUUUGCAUCAUCAUUACACAUCUCAGUAUCAGUUCGAUUUUCUGCAUUGCCUCAUUAUUAUCAUUAUAGCCACAUUGGGCAUCCUUAGGUCUAUGGCUCACGAGAUUUUCUAUACAUGUUGCAUUUUAUAUAUGAGGGCAUGGGUUUUCGAUCAUUGGGUAUUUGGGCCUAGUUUCCCUUCAUUUCUAUCACCUUAUCACCCUAGCCUACAUUACGUCCUGUGUUUUAAGACCACCCUGAGGCCAUGGGAUCAGAUUUCGUCUUCGACAACCCCCUCUUUGAUAGGUGCUUGAGAUUUGAUUGAUAUUUGGAUAUCGUCAUGCUUCUUCUUUUAGGAGACACCUCUUUGAUGUUUGGAUCUGAUUUAGCUGUGGAUUUGGAUUACUGGGAUCACAUGUUUGAUGAUGGAUGAUUUGACGUCACCUGAUUUUCUGAUCUAUCAUACGUUCGAGGCCAUACCGGGGCAUAUUCCGUUUCGGAUAAGAUUUACAUAUCUUCAUGGAGUUGCAUGCUCAUCCCCACUUAUGAGAUACACGCCGAGACGAUGACAUGUUUGUUAUCUUAUCAUGAUCCUCUAGUGAAGCCUUUCUUAAGCCAUUCAGUUAGACCCACACUUUUCGAUCUUUAGAUGUCAUCAUACUUCUUCUUCCGGGAGACGGAUUUUGACCUGUGGAUUUGAUUCAAUUGCGGAUUUAGAUUACUGGGAUCACGCAUUUGAUGAUGGAUGCUUCGAGGUCAUUCAAUUUUCUAACCUACCAAAUAUCUGAUUCCAUACUGGGGCAUAUUUCCUUUUCGAUUGAGAUCUGUAGGUCUCCAUGGAUUCGCAUGAUCAUUCCCAGUUACGAGAUACACAAUGUGCUAAGGAUUCGUUUUCAUUUUUUUCUUGAUUCUCCAUUGAAGCCUUCCUUUAGUCAUUCGGUUAAGCUCAUACUUUCUGAUAUUGUCAUGAAUUUUAGAUGGAUUUAUCUCAGGUGUGUAGAUUUCCACAUCAUCAUUUUAGGGGAGUAAAUGUCAGAUCUUUUAUACAUCUCCAUUGAGUUAUUCUCGAGUCAUCAUGACGAACUGGAUGCGCUAGUUGCUAUAUUGGGGCAUAUUUCCACCUUUUAGCUAUAGAGAUGAUUGUUUUAUCACAGGCCUAAUACAGUCUUCAAUACUCGGUCGAUGGAUACUUAUUUGCAUUAAUGGUCACUGUUUCGAUGAUUUUUUAAUUGAAAUGAGCUUUCAGCGGAGUGCGACAUUUGGGUUUUGAUCGUCCCACUAUCCAUGACUCUUCAGUAGAUUGUUAUGUUGAGAUUGUGGUAGUUACCCUAGCGAACUAUUCUCUUGAGACCCCCUAGUGGAUCAUUCAUUUGAGAUGAUGAUGGAUUUCCCCAAUAGAGCAUUUUGAGUUAGAGGAGUUUGACUUAUUGUGACACUUUAUCAGACCUUGUGACCUAGUCAGAUGGGUUUUGAGACUAUAUUUAUAGUCAAUUUGACCAUUCCGACUCGCUAGCGGAGCAUCUUUUGAGACUCAUGGAGUCUCUUUUAGACCCUUCUAGUGGAUUGAGAGUUGUGGCAGCACACUACACUGGGGCAUAUUUCCCUCUCAUCGUCUCCUCGCAUUUUUAGCUCGACGUUCAAAGCCACCAUGUCUUCUCAGUUAUAACGUUCAGAUUCGUCUCUCUCAGCUGGACAUUCAUAGAUAUCAGUUCACAGUUGGGCGUUCAGAGCCACCAUCUCAUUACAGUUUGGCGUUUAGAGCCGUUGUUUCCACUUGGCAUUCAGAGUCGUUGUUUCCACUUGGCAUUCAUAGCCAUUGUUUUAGCUUGGCAUUUAGAGUCACCCCAUCAUCUCCUCAUAGGUCUUAGCGUUCAGAGCCACUACCUCUUUCUUAGUUUCGGCGUUCAGAGCCACCAUCUCUUCUCAAUUUUGGCAUUCAAAGCCACCAUCCCUUCUCAUUUUUGGUGUUUAGAGCUGUUUUUUGUUUAUAGUUCGACAUUCAUAGCCAUCGUACCUCUUUUUCAAUUUGGCAUUCAGAGCUGCAUCUUCAUUUUGGCGUUCAAAGCCACCGAGACUUUUUAGUUUGGCAUUCAGAACCACCAUCUUUUUUUCGAUUUGGCAUUCAGAGCCGCAUCUUCAUUUUGGUGUCUAGAGCCGUUGUUUGCUUCUAGUUCAUCAUUCAUAGCCAUCAUACCUCUUUUUCAGUUUGGUGUUUAGAGCCGCAUAUUCAUUUUGGCGUUUAGAGCCGUUGUUUGUUUCUUGUUUGACAUUCAGAGUCAUCAUCUCUUCUUUCCGUUCGACGUUCAGAGUUGCAUCUUCAUCUCGACAUUCAAAACCAUAUCUUCAGUUUGGCGUUCAAAGCCGUUGUUUGUCUUUGGUUCGACGUCCAGAGCCGUAUUUUCUGUUUGGCGUUCAGAGUCGUUGUUCAUUUUAGUUCGGCAUUCAGAGCCACACCUUCAGUUCAGCGUUUAGAACAGUAUUUUAUGUUUGGCGUCCAGAGUCAUUGUUCAUUUUCAGUUUGGCGUUCAAGGCCGUCGUUUUUUUUUUUUAGUUCGACGUUCAGAGUCAUCAUGUCUUUCUUCUAUUCACUAUUCAGAGUCACAUCUUCAUCUUGGUGUUUAGAGUCACGUUUCCAGUUAGGCUUUUAAACCCGCAUCUUCUGUUUGGCGUUCAGAGCCAUGUCAUCAGUUUAGCAUUUAGAGCCAUUAUUCAUUAUUGACAUUCAGAUCCGUUGUUUCGUUUGGCAUUCAGUGCCACCAUCUUUCUUUAGUUUUGGCGUUCAAAGCCAUUAUGCAUACUCAUUGAGGCAUUUGAUACCACCAUCAUUCUUUAGUUUUGGCGUUUAGAGCCAUUGUGUAUACUCGUUUAGGCUUUUAGAGUCACCAUUCUUUCCUCCAUUUUGGCAUUCAAAGUCAUUUUCCUUACCUUGUUACUUUGUCCUUAUUGCUUGUUCAUCAUGCUCUUCUAGACUUCCCAUUCCACUACACAUGACAUAGUCAUUUGAGUUCGAGACACAUAUUUCGGCCAUGUUGUUGGGCACCCUACACUUAGCAUUCUUAUGUAGUUCACAUAGGGUAGUCCCAUUUGACGCAUUCUUUCUUGUACUCUAGGGUGGUUCGACCGCUACUCAUCUUUGACAUUGACUUUCGAGUCACUUUUGGAGAUGUCUUAGAGGGAGUCUAGGUCAUUGGUACAACUUUAGAGGCGCUUUGAGAUAUACUUUUCUCAUAUGAUUAGAGUUUUUUUGUUCAUCUGUUGGCCUGAGUGAGUUCAUGUUUUUCUAGUGUCCCUUUAGGGGUCUCCUUGAUUCUUCGGUAGAGUUCAUUUCAUUCCACCCACUAUUCACAUUUUAUUUUCACUACAGUGUUCAUAUUCCUUACACUUGUGAGCUUUACCGAAGAAGGGCAUAUUUGUAUACCCCGAUUUUGGGGCUCAUUUGUAGCAGUUUAUCUUUCCAGGUAGAGGGCUCUUAAGGAGCCACGUGUUGCCUCAAGAGAGGCUAUUAAAUAAUCAUAUUAGUGAGUAGAGAAUGCAAUGGGGAAAAGACAAGUGUUGAGGGAAUGUUCUAGGGAGAGCAUAUUCUUUUAGAUAGGGACAAUGAGGCUAUUAGAGAGGGAGAGGUGAUUUGGUUGUUGCUUACAGAGAUGUUUUAGGAUAAAGGGAGAAGGGGGAGAAGGGAAGAGAACCUGAGGAGAAAGAUAGUUAAAACAGAAAGGCAAUGAGCUAUAGGAAGAAAGAAGGUUGCAAGGUUGAUAGCUUGAGGAGCAAACUGGUUUGGGAGGAAGGACUGAGAGAAACAAGUCGGGUAUUCUAGAGAUAGUGGGUAUAAGAGGAUAGCUAGACGUUGCUUGAGGAAGGAAAAGAAAACUUGAAAGAAUUUUUUCUAGGUUCGUUUGUUGUAGCUUCUUGGAUUGCUUUUACUCAUCACUCUGUUUUCUUAUAUCUUUCAUUCUCUCUGGUUGUCUCUGGAUUUCUAAGCAUCGAUCAAUUGUUUGGGCAUGGGUAUGAUGUUGUAUUACACUUUUCUCAUAUUUGUUUAUCUGAAUAUGGCUCACUCUCAUAGUAGGAGUUUGUUGAUGCUUUCAUUUUGAUAUUUGUUAUGAACUAUCUUACUGCACCACUGGUCGACGAACCCUUGGAUUUCAAUAUGAAAAGGGAUCCCAUUUAAUGUUCUACUCACUCUGUUUACUUGGUUCUGGGUAAGUUGUAUCCUGUUUUGCACACUUCUUUACUCCCGGUACCUCAAUUCAUAUCCCCUUUUAUGGCUUAUAUAUCUUCGGAUUUGCUCUAAACGAUUGGUUGUGUGUUUUGAUCUGUGCUUGAGGAGAGAGGGUUGUGUGUUGGCUUACUACUCCAGAUCCGUGACCCCAAUAGAUGAGAUGUAUACAUGUGUUAUAUUAGCUGCUAUUUUGGCUAUUGGGUUUGCCACUAAUGCAUUUGGGAUCCAAGUUCUAUGUAAUUGGUUUUUCCAUGGGUGGACAGGUGAUUUGGAGUUGCCUCAAGUAUAUCCUUCACAAGUUGGCAAGUGCAACACUGAUAGCUCCAAUGGUCAACUACUUUUGGCCUAGUUUUCCUCCAAACUUAUCUAAAGAAGCCUACUACCAAUAGUUUUGACAGGAUCAGUGGGCGCUUCGUGUUGCUCACUACACACCAUGGCUUACCUACUGGUGGAACACUCAAAAGUGGUUUCCUGCUUGUAGUGUUGCAGAACACACCACUGAUAUUAUUUCUCACCAAGACAAAAAGCUCAUGCUUAAGCUUUCAAAGAAAAUGGAAUAUAUGGCACAUGUGAGACAACAAGAAGAAUUUGAGUCUACCCAUCGUGACUUGAUGAUAGGAUUUAGAACUUGGGAAUUUGAUCCCAUGGAUCUGAAGAACCCAUUCCCAAAUAAUGAAGGUUCUGUCCACCUAUGGCAUGGAGAUGAAUAUGCAAUUAUGCUUGUUUCACUGCAACGCUACAUUGCCCAACAACUCCCAUGGAUCAUAUUUGUAGAUAUCCAUCUGCUUGAAUAGCUCAAUGGGUAGAGACCUCUGUUGAAUCUUCCUCUUUAGGUAGAACCUCACAAGCUCCUCAUCUAUGGGAUGAAACCUGAAGCCAUGCAGCAUGACAUCAUCCAUUUUAUCAGCAUCAUUCCUCUCAUCCAUCAUCCCUCUUUUUCCCUGAUUUCCUCAAACUCGACUAGGAAUUAGAAUCAAUGAACUCUCUAAGGUGAUAUGGUAGUGAGCUUUUUGGAAAACUAACACCAACCCAUCAAUGGAAAUUACAAUUCACUUAAUUCAAAGCCACUAUAUGCCUCUUGAUAAGGAGCUUGACUGUGCAGCUUGAGCCGGGUUUUAUGGUGGUUGUAGUGUUUAUCAGCAAAUAUCACGAUGACUUGGUGAUGAGAACAGUUGAAGGAAAGCUUUGUGAAGAACAUCUAGUUACAAGAGAGAAGUAUUCAAAGAAGAGGUUAGAUUCAAGAAAAAACGAAGGAAUGAGUCCCAAGUUUCCUUCCUUGAAGCUUGAAAGUAAAAAUCUAGUGGACGAAUCUUUGAAAGCUAAUGAAAAUGAAGAAAAAAAAUCCAAGAAAGGUGAUGGUGAUAAGGUGAGAGAGGGGAUGGAGAAAGGAUCUAAGAAAAAUGAGGUGGAUUCUCAGAAAGGGUUGUUAAGAGUUGGACUAGACAUGUGCUAAAAAAAAUGGGGAUGUUAUGGGUGCGCUUGAUCUGUAUGAUUUGGCUAUAAGGAAAGGAAUUGAAUUAGGGCAGUAUCACUACAUUGUUCUUUUGUAUCUUUGUUCUUUAGCAGCACUUGGUGUUAUUCGACUUGCAAAAAGUGGAAUUGGUAGCCGGAGUUUGGACAUGUUGAGCCCUUCUAGUGAAGUUUGUGGUGGGGUUUCUGAGGAUUUGGUAGAAUUUGGGGACACGAGCAAGAAGAAUUCUGAAGCAUUUGAAGUAGAAAAAGAUGAUUUGGAUGGUAGUUUCAUUAAAAUGGACAAGUUAUCCUAGGUCUUUAAUUGCUUUAAUCAGUCAAAUAGUCAACUUUUGGAAGGUCAAAAGCAUUUAAGAAAGAGUGCUGAUGACUCCACAAAUAUAAAAGAAGAUAAUGAAAUUUGGGUAAGUGAAGAUUUCAAGAAGUAUGCACUCCGGAGUCGAUUUGAAAUCUAUGAGAAGAUGUGUUUGGAAAGGGUCCCAAUGAAUGAAGCAAACCUUGACAUCGGUGGUGAGAAUGACAAUAUCCAUGGGUAAUGGUGACAUCGCUUUUGAUAUGGUAAAGCAAACGAAACCACUAGGGAUAAAUCCUAGAUUGUGGUCUUAUGGUUCUGUACUUUCUGCUUUCUGUAACAAUGGAGAUAUUAAGAAAGCAUUUGGUGCUGAAGAACGCAUGUUGGAGCAUGGUGUCUAUCCUAAAAAGCCAAGUUAUAUGCCAAGUUUACUAUAACAAAAGCAACCUGAUGAACAGAUGUCUUCCCUUGUAGCCAUGCCAUCGUCCUUGGCUGCACAGAAAUUUCUUCCAAAUGUAGUCUCUGUUGGUCUUUUCCUAGGAUCGAUGCACAUACCAUCUUUUGUUCAACUAGCAAACCAAUAACCUGCACUGCAUUUGCCUACAACUAUCGGCCUUGGUGAAAAAUCACCCCCAUGUCACAAUGCCAAUGAUGCAGGGAGUUGCUAGGUUUCGUUCCCAGAUGGGCACCAAUGUCAAGGGGAUAGAAUGAUCCAUUUUUUUAGGCUGACCGGCGAUAAAUAGCCAAACAAGCAGCUGCCUCUAAGCGAGUACAUCCAGCAUUGCAUUUGCUUGCCAAUUCACUUCCAUCAGCCCAAGUUGUUGGGUUGCUUACAAAUUCAUUCACAAUUGGUGCACUGACUGCACCAUAAUAGACAUUUGCUCAACUUCAUCUGGUAGUGGGUUCUCACUUUUUUGGUAUUUCAUCUUCUGCUCCAUAUGUCAUCCGCCUGCAUCCAAACUUCUACCAAGUCACCUUUGUUGACCCCACAUGUAGACUAUACAAGUCUAUGGUUUGAGUUUGAGGCAAAUUUUUUUCGAAUUUGAUGAUUCUGAUUCAGAGGAAGGUCUCCUAACCGAUUCAUAGGAUGGCAAAGUUGACACAGUAGCACUUCGAGUUUCAUUCCUGCAUGGUUAUCCCUCACCAUCUCUCCCACUUAUGCACAUAUGCAUGGCCACUUUUGGGCCACGUGUCACUCUUCCAUUUCUUCAUCCUUGCUUUUUUAAAAAAUAGUUUCUCAAACCCCAGUUUGCCAAUAAUUUUCCAAAUUCUAGUUUUUCAAAUAAUUUUAAUUCUUCAAAUUUUAAUUCUUAGAAUUUUUAGGUCCCAAAAGUCCCGUUUUUCAAUAUAAAUUUGUUGCCAUUUUCUUUGAUGGGGGAAAUUUUCACAUUUUCUUUUAUUUUUAAAAUGUUUUGAAAUAAACAUGGAUUUAAUUCCGAAUAAUGGAUAUUCAUGGGAUUAAUUCAUGCAAAAAUAAGUCGGGCUUUGGAGGAGGCAAUUUUCACAUUUUCUUUUAUUUUAAAAAUAUUUUAAAAUAAGCAUGAAUUUCUUUUUUUUUUUUUUUAAUUCCAAGUGAUGGAAUUUAUGGAAUUGAUUCAUGCAAAAAUAAAUCAGGCUUUGGUGGGGGUCCAAUUUAUGUGAUUUUCUCAUUGAUUGAUUGCUAUGCAUGAUUGACUUAUUCCACUCUAUGACAUGCAUAUGAUUAUGCUGUGUUUGUUUACUAAUCCUUAUUUUCCAUGAAGAAAAUCAACUCAUCACUCAGGUACACUCUUUCCCUCUCUUGUUCAUUCCGUUAUUAUGUUUUGAUUGAUAUUCAUUCGGUAUCCAUAUUUGAUCAAUCAAUUGUCAUACUUGCUUCAUCUCAUAAGUAGAGACCCGUUUUUAGGGACUUAGAGGGGUGCUACGGUCUUUACCGUACUUUCCUAAUAAGUAACCUAACCCCCGAGCCUAGAUUUGUUUUUUCACAGACCACCUUUUCCAAAAUAAAGAGUCACACUUAAGGUUUUCUUUCUUAUUUUGUUUACCCUUUAAAUAUAAAACAAAAAUAAGUGGCGACUCCAAGUCAUUUUCUAAAAAAUAAAUCAUUUUUAAAUAAAAAAUGAGUUCGUCAUCGAGUGAAAAUGCAUAAGCAAAAAUGCGGGGUCCACAAAAUGGUGACUCCACUAGGGAUCACUAGAAGGAUUUAAUUCCGAAUAAUGGAAAUCCAUGGGAUUAAUUCAUGCAAAAAUUAAUCGGGCUUUGGUGGGGACAAUUUUCACAUUUUCUUUGAUUUUAAAAAUAUUUUAAAAUAAGCAUGAAUUUAUUUUUGUAAUUCCAAGUGAUGGAAUUUACGGAAUUGAUUCAUGCAAAAAUAAAUCAGGCUUUGGUGGGGGCCCAAUAUAUGUGAUUUUCUCAUUGAUUGAUUGCUAUCAUGAUUGACUUAUUCCACUCUAUGACAUGCAUGCGAUUAUGUUGUGUUUGUUUACUAAUUUUUGUUUUCUAUGAAGAAAAUCAGCUCAUCACUCAGAUACACUCUUUGCCUCUCUUGUUCAUUCGGUUAUUUUGUUUUGAUUAAUAUUCAUUCGGUAUCCAUAUUUGAUCAUACUGUUUGCAGGGACUUAGAGGGGUGCUACGGUCUUUAUCGUAUUUUCCCAAUAAGUAAACUGAUCCCCGAGCCUGGAUUUGGUUUUUCAAAUAUCACCUUUUCCAAAAUAAAGAGUCACACUUAUGGUUUUCUUUCUUAUUUUGUUUAUCCUUUAAAAAUAAAACAAAAAUAAGUGGCGACUCCAAGUCAUUUUCUAAAAAAUAAAUUAUUUUUAAAUAAAAAGUGAGUUCACCAUCAAGUGGAAACGCAUGAGCAGAAAUGUAGGGUCCAUAAACAUGUUUGAUUUUUAAAUAAUAAUAAUAAUAAUAAUAAUAAUAAUUAUUAUUAUUAUUAUUGGAAAAUGGUGUAUUUUUUUCCAAAUCACUAAAUUAAAUUAAAUUUUAUUGAGAUUUACAAAAGGAAUAAAAUUUAAAUUAAUGUUUUUCUACUCUUUUUUUUUUUUUCAUAGUCAAUAAAAGUCAUUUUUGGAAAUAUAAAAAAUUCAUAUCCUUGUUCUCAAUUUUCACACUUUAUCUAAGUCUUGGGCUUAAAUGGUGAAUUAGGUCUCAUUUUCACACCAAAACUUAAUUUUUUGGUCCAAAUAGGUCAAAAACACCAUUUUUCCCAUAUUAUAUUGGGAAGCACAGUCUGCUUUAAUUAAAUUUUCUUAGGACAAUGAUUCUUAAGAGUAUGGCUCAAUCUUUGACUGAGAUGUGUUUGUUUACUAAUUUUUGUUUUCCAUGAAGAAAAUCAGUUCAUCACUCAAGUACUCUUUGCCUCUCUUGUUCAUUCGAUUAUUUUGUUUUGAUUGAUAUUCAUUCGGUAUCCAUAUUUGAUUAGACUGUUUGCAAGGACUUAGAGAGGUGUUACGGUCUUUACCGUACUUUCCCAAUAAGUAACCUGAUCCCCGAGCCCGGAUUUGGUUUUUCAAAUACCACCUUUUCCAAAAUAAAGAGUCACACUUAGAGUUUUCUUUUUUAUUUUGUUUACCCUUUAAAAAUAAAACAAAAAUAAGUAGUGACUCCAAGUCAUUUUCUAAAAAAUAAAUUAUUUUUAAAUAAAAAGUGAGUUCGCCAUCAAGUGGAACCGCAUGAGUAGAAAUGUAGGGUCCAUAAAGAUGUUUGAUUUUUAAAUAAUAAUAAUAAUAAUAAUUUUUUUUUUUUUUUUUUUGGAAAAUGGUGUAUUUUUUUCCAAAUCACUAAAUUAAAUUAAAUUUUAUUGAGAUUUUCAAAAGGAAUAAAAUUUAAAUUAAUGUUUUUCUACUCUUUUUUUUUUUUAUAGUCAAUAAAAGUCAUUUUUGGAAAUAUAAAAAAUUCAUAUCCUUGUUCUUAAUUUUCACACUUUAUCUAAGUCUUGGGCUUAAAUGAUGAAUUAGGUCUCAUUUUCACACCAAAACUUAAUUUUUUGGUCCAAAUAGGUCAAAAACACCAUUUUCCCAUUUUAUAUUGGGAAACAUAGUCUGCUUUAAUUAAAUUUUCUUAGGACAACGAUUCUUAAGAGUAUUUCUCAAUCUUUGACUGAGAUGUGUUUGUUUACUAAUCUUUGUUUUCCAUGAAGAAAAUCAGCUCAUCACUCAGAUACACUCUUUGCCUCUCUUGUUCAUUUGAUUAUUUUGUUUUGAUUGAUAUUCAUUCGGUAUCCAUAUUUGAUCAGACUGUUUGCAGGGACUUAGAGGGGCAUUAUGGUCUUUACCGUACUUUCCCAAUAAGUAACCUGAUCCUCGAGCCCGGAUUUGGUUUUUCAAAUACCACCUUGUCCAAAAUAAAGAGUCACACUUAGAGUUUUCUUUUUUAUUUUGUUUACCCUUUAAAAAUAAAACAAAAAUAAGUGGCGACUCCAAGUCAUUUUCUAAAAAAUAACUUAUUUUUAAAUAAAAAGUGAGUUCGCCAUCAAGUGGAAACGCAUGAGCAAAAAUGUAGGGUCCAUAAAGAUGUUUGACUUUUAAAUAAUAAUAAUAAUAAUAAAUUUUUUUUUUGGAAAAUGGUGUAUUUUUUUCCAAAAUCACUAAAUUAAAUUAAAUUUUAUUGAGAUUUACAAAAGGAAUAAAAUUUAAAUUAAUGUUUUUCCACUCUCUUUUUUUUCAUAGUCAAGAAAAGUCAUUUUCGGAAAUAUAAAAAAUUCAUAUCCUUAUUCUCAAUUUUCACACUUUAUUUAAGUCUUGGGUUUAAAUGGUGAAUUAGGUUUCAUUUUCACACCAAAACUUAAGUUUUUGUUCCAAAUAGGUCAAAAACACCAUUUUCCCAUUUUAUAUUGGGAAGCACAGUAUGCUUUAAUUAAAUUUUCUUAGGACAAUGAUUCUUAAGAGUAUGGCUCAAUCUUUGACUGAGCUUGAACAAAAUCCUUCAACUUGCAGCCACACUGAGUUCCUAAUUCCGAUAGGAUUGGCAUGCAUGGAAACAUGAGCAAGUAGUGAAGUAAACCACGUACGGGUCUUCUUCAAUAUGGAGAGAAAUGUUUUAUUAAUUUCUUGGAACCCUUUCCCACAAGUAACUUAAAGGGAGUAGCUAAAAUAUUAGUUCAAUUUUUUUUUUGUCUGAUGCUGUUUUAGAAUAAUGGCCUUUACACCAGGCUAGGGUAAGGAAUAUUUUUGCACUAUCAUUCUUCUGAGGAAGUUCUAUAGAUAUGGUAGGAUGUGGAUGUAUAAAGAUACGUGGGACCUGACUUUCAGCAGAGAUUCAUGCACAAGGAUAGCCUUCUUUGAGUAGAAAGCAAGCAAAUUAAACAAAGUACAGGAAAAUCCAUUUCUUCAUUUUUCUCUUCUGCCAAGCAAGCAUAUAUUCCCAACAAAAACAACCCCUACACACCUCUCUAAAAUAUCUUCAUUCGUCAGUUGAAAUGCAACAAUUUAUUAUAAACUAGAGGCCAAGGAAUCAUCUUUAACUCGUAUCAAACUGUUUGCAGUACCCACUUUAUGGCCACCCCACUUUUGCCCCGUUUUCCUUUUCCCUAUUAUGGCCUCUACUGUCUCAAGCAGCUGCUUUUAUGGCUAUCUCCCAAGUGUAUUUAUGGAGGGUCGCUGAAGCAGACAACAUUCUCAGUUGAAGUUGGUGCUGCUUUGUUGCUAUGGACCCAAGAAAACACUCUACUAGAAUGUUCAAUAUAGUUGUGUUCAUCUUCAUUUCAGUCACCACCCUGAUUAUAAGUACCCCAUGUGGUAAUUAAACAUAUUUUCCUUUCAAUUUUAGUGCAUGUUUAAUUUACUAAUUAAUGUUGAUGAGUAUGUUAUAAGUUUUGUUUCUUCUGGUGCAGAUGCAAGAAGUUCAGCACAAAUGUUGGAGGUUGAAGGUGAGGAGUUUGGUGAAAGUUCAGUCACUGGGGGGAGGAAGAUGCAACAAGUAGCAGUAAACUUGGAGAAUACUGACUCAUACAUAAGCUCUCCAUUUUCUCUACCACCUUUUGAUUCAUUGUCACCACUUCCCUCACCAGAGACAGCCCCUCCCUUUUGUGUUUGCCCACCAUUUUCCCCACAGCCACCUUCCAUACCCACUACUCCACCCAUAUUCCAAGGCCCUCCUACACAUUCCCCAGUUCCAAAUCCUCCUGAAUAUGAGCUGCCUAGUCCCCCCAAGCAUGCGCCAAGCUCACCGAAGCGCGCUCCGAGCCCGCCAGUCUUUAAGCCUCCGGUGGUUCUACCACCACCAUCUACACCGCCUCCACUACAUAAGGCACCCCAGUAUGCUGUUUGGUGUGUCGCAAAGCCGACGGUGCCUGAUCCCAUAAUUCAGGAGGCCAUGGACUAUGCCUGCGGAAAAGGUGCAGACUGUGAAGCAAUUAAGCCCGACGGGUUAUGCUUCCAACCCAAUACAUUGUUUGCGCAUGCUUCAUAUGCUUUCAAUAGUUACUGGCAGAGGACUAAGGUGGCUGGUGGCACCUGCGACUUUGGAGGAACUGCAAUGCUUGUUACAGUUAAUCCAAGUAAGUUCAACUACUGCCUUCAUCUUAUGAGUACUAGCCUUAAGUCCCAACAAUUCCAUUCAAUACUCAUGAUUUUCUUGGGUAGACAUGAUUCUAAGUUGGGUCAGCUAUGGAACCAAAAGGCGUCUCCUCUGUGUCACACCAAAAACACAAGAUCAAUCGAGUAGUCCUAUAUAUAUGUGUCUUAAUUAUUAUUAUUUUUUACUUUAAUCUUAUUUGUUCCUAAUUAACUUAAUUUGGUCUAUAUUUUGUAUCAUUAUUUAAUGGAUCAAAUUUCACUAUACACUUUAAACGACCCAAAUAAAAAGUUAGAAUGAUAUAACAUUUUUUUUCUUUCGACUUUUUUGGAUUAGCAAGUUAAAUUUGAGGGUCCAACUGUAACAUCAGAGAGGUACCCAUCCAAAAGCGUAGUCAGUCAUAUCAUAUCAUAUCAUACUGUAUUUAAGUCUUAUUGUUAUGUAUCUGGAUCUCACUCAAUCAUAUUUAAUCACAUUCUUUAUGUCUUAAUCUCAUUAUUUGUACCUUCAUUUAAUAAUUUAAAUUAUUUUACUUACUUUUAAUGAUAAAAAUUAAGAGUUAAAUUGGGGUGACUUUUUUUUCGAAGCACAAGCCCAGCUCAUACAAUUUUAAGUAUGUAGUUUGAUUUGAGUCUGAUCUUUGAUAUAUAAUGCCUUGUUGCAGGUUUUGAUGAAUGCCAUUUUGUCUACAAUUGAUGAGUAGUGGUGAAGACAAUGCCUGAUUCCAGAGGGUAUAUGAAUAAUGCAAUAAAAUAGGUGUGUGGGUGGUUGUCAUGGUUUUUGCAGCCAAACAUGUAAAAGUAUUUUGAUAGAUGGAUUCAGUUUGGAUUUUGGAAUAUAGGAUCCCUACGCAACAUCUACUUAUUCUCUUGCCUUAAUUUUGUAAUCUAAAUUAUUACAUAAUACAUGAUGUUGAUGGUUAAGCUGGAUCUUAAUACAAUAAUUUAUUUAUUUUUUUGAGAAUUUAUUUGGACCUAUGUUAUAUACCAUCACCUUAUUUUAUCAAUUUUUUUUAAAAUAUAAAAUAAUAUAUUGGUGAAAUUACCCUCUUACCAGUUUGUUCAACGUGCCUACAACUACCCAAAAUUCUAACCUUAUUUUCACUUCAAGUUUAGUUCAUUUUCCUUGGGAAGAGGGCAAAAAGGUCAUUUCACAUAACUUUUAAUAUUAGAAAAUUAAAAACAAAUUCUCCUCGAUUAACCUUUCUAAACCCCAUGAAAUGACCUAAAAUAAUAAAUAAUGCUCUCUUUCACCCAUUUUGGUUAUUAAAAAAGGAAAAAAUAUAUAUUAAAGAAACAAUUCAAUUUUAUUAUGAAAAAUAAUAAAAAUAAAUAUAAUUAAAAUUAAUUAUAAAUUUAUGUAUUAUUAUUUAAUUUUCACAUAAAAAAAAUAAAAAAAAUGAAAUGAAUUUGAGAUAAUAUAUAAAAAUAAUUCUUUUACGUACCAGUAAGUUUGAUAAUUUACAUUUAUUAUUGGAUUUAUAAUUAUAAUUAUUAUGAUUAAUAGUCAAAGGUUCUUUUAAUCAAAUUUUAGUUAUUAUGAAAUAAGAUUAAGGUGCUAAUGAUUUAAAUCAAAUUAAGGUUUUUUAUAACAAUUUGUAAUAUAGUAUUUAUUGGUACACUUAGGCUUAAAAAGUUGAUUUUAUUAAGAAAAUGAAUAAAUCUUUGUUUUAAUUCAAAGUCUUCAAUUAUAAAUGAGUUUACAUAUUCCUUCUCUUAAUAUUUUUAAUUUAUGAUUACACUGCUUCUCUUAUUUAUUUAUUUAUUGUUUAAAAAAAAUUAACACCCAAUUUACGCAUGGGGGUGAUUUACUUAAUCAAAUUAAUUGUUUGUCAUAAUUAUUAUUAUUUUGGGAAAUAAUCAUGUGAUUGUAUAUGCACUCUAUCUUUAUACAAGAAAUUAGAUUUUUCAUAUCAUGAUCCCAUUUUGUGGCAUCUAAAUUCUAUAUUUUUUUAUAUUGUUAUUUAAUAAUUUAGAUUAAUUAGUUAUGCAUGUUAAGAAAUUGAAUUAAAGACGUUGAAUAUGAUAUAAAAAGCCACAAUACAAUAUUUCUUGUCCCACAAAUUUAAUAGAAAUCUUUUCUUUCCAUGAACUUUUUAAGAAAAUACACCCAUUUGCUAAGUUGAUAAUUUAGUCAAAUAGGUGCAUCAUGGGCCCAUUGAACUUAGUCCUUCUACUACAGCUAAUGAUAUUGGUUUUUAGUAGAGGUGCAGAGAAUCAAGCCGAACCAAACAAAAAUGCUCGGCAGGUGGAGAUGGGAUCGAUGUUACCAUUUUUUUCUAAAGACAAUUGAUUGGAGUCUUGCAGAGGGAGACAUAACCAUUUUACUAUGUGUCUCAAGCUUGGCUGUAUCCUACAAUCUUUUAUUUUAGUCAAUUCUUCCAAAUUUCCAAAUCUGAGUGCUGCGAGAUGUGGUUUGAGUUUGAAAACUAGAGGGUCUUUGACCGAUUCAGACCUAGUUUGUCGCAGUGGUACUCAGCCGAUGGCGCAAAAAGGUCAAGAUAUUUCUUUCUUUCUUGUCCUCUUUGCCUCGAGAUUCAGGCUUUCCUUCCUACCAGGGUACGAACCGAGGAAAAGGAGAAUUUGCUGAAGCGUGACUGGGCCUAAAAUAUGUCAAAUGUGGAAGAAAAUGUAAAUAGGAGGUGAUUGAAAGGUAGACAAAUUUUAAGCACAUUUGUUUAAAUCUUUUUUCGUCUACUCUUACUUUUAUUUUUAUUUUUCUUUUAUAAAAAAAAUCAUCAAAGGGAAAAAGAAACCAAAGCAUUGUAAAGGGUAAGGCAGAAAUAAAUUAUGAAAAUAAAUAUGUAAAUUACGAAAAGAUGAUACAAAUUCAAGAAUUUUUAUUAAAUUAAUAUUGAAUUAUCAAUUUUCUUAAAAAUUAAAGUUUUUGAAAAUUUAAAAAAAAUUAAUAAUAAAACAAUUAAAAGUGAAUAAAAAGAAAGAAAAGAAAAAUGAGUAGUUAAACAAUUAAAAAUGAAUAAAGAGAGAGGAUGGUUAGUGUAGAGACAUCAUGUAAUAAAAUCAUAAGAAUGGUGUCCUGCCUACAUAGAUCACAUGCCACAACCAUGCAAGGAUUGAUCACCAUUAUCAUAAUAUGACUUUGUAUAACACAUGAUCCACCCAUCAAUUAUAUAAUGAUCAAAUAAGAUAUCAAAAACAACUCUUCCUUCCAUUUCGUUUUGUAAUUAACCUGAUCGUCGGAGAUGGAUCGACCUAAUAAAUCCAUUCAUUUUUCAUCUUUCCUGUUGAUCCUCAUAAGGAAGACAAGUGGGUUUUAAAGUUUUGCUAAAAGUUAAAUCCCACCAUUCCAAGGUGUAAGCUGGUCAGUCAAAUUUGGCAUCCAAAGCUCAUAUUUACGUUGUAUUCAACUUCACGUAAAGAAAUAUUUCUUACUAAGGAUUGUUCUAGCAUUAAUAAACGUGUUCUUAAAUGAUAAGGGCGAGUGAGUUUAGAGUUUAGAGUUUAGAGUAGGUAAUGGGUAGUGUCGUGCUGUCAUGCAUUAUUAAUCAUCAACUUGAUUGGAUGGUGGUCAAAUUUAUCUGAUUUAACUUUCUUAAAUUGUGAGUGUUGCUUUCUUUAUGUAUUUUUCUGGUAGGCUGGUGUGCUUCUAGUUCUACCCAAUUCAUGUGGUCCUAACUUUUUCCCUCAAAAUUGGCUUUAAUAUCGCGGUGUCAAGUUGUCAACAAAAGGCAACCGAUAACGCGGAAUAUAGUACACAAAAUAAUAGAGACACUUUGGCACUAAACCCUAUACAAGAAAGGACGAACGUAAUUAAUUAGCCUAUUUUAAUUUUUUUUUAAUGUUUGGAUAUAAUGAAUUUUUAUAUUAAUGUAAAAGCUUUCUGAAACUUAUGCUAAAUAAGAUAGUAGUUUUUUUUAAAACGGUUUAUAAAAUUGAGAUGUUAAAAAAUAAUUAUUACUUUAAAUUUAUUUUUAUUUUAAAAAUAUAAAAUGUGAAGUCUAUCUUAAUUAAUGGAAGAUGAUGCUGGAAACUAAUAAACACAAAGUAAGUUUAAUCUGCAAGGAAGAGUACAUUUAGCCCUUUGGUUGUACAGGACUUAUAUAAAUUAAUUAAGUUCCAUUGUUGAAGGAGGAUGGCUCCAAGUGUAGGAAGAGUGUAAAUACUUUAUUUAUUUAUUUAUUUAUUUUUUUGGGGAAGAGUCCUAUUGGGAAUUAUUUUUAUUUUAUUUUACCUUAUUUUAUUCCAUUAGUCUUAUAUUUUUGGAAAGAGUCUUAUUGAGAUUGUGCUAGUGGAGUCUCGUUCCUUUUAUAAGUAGAAUCAUCUUCUAUUUUGAGUUUUAUUCUAAUUACAAGUAGAUUCCCGUUGGGAUUGUGUUAGUGACCUAUAAAAGCAGGUCACACCCAUCACUCUCUAUAUAUGAAUACCAAUUUUUUAGGGAAUUUAAAAAAAAAAAAGUUUUUCAGAGAGUAUUUUCAUACAUCUAUCUGAAGGAAUUUUUUCAAAACCCGAGUUGUACACAUCUCGCUUACAGAGUGCACCUAAGGCGAGAUAUGACUUUUGAAUCUUAGAGGUAGACCACUGGUACCCUAAUGCACUGAGUUAUUCUUCAAGGAUGGUGGAUCUAUUUCAAUGACAAAGUUUGUCACGCCUCAACCAAUAAGUUUUUCUUCUUAUUCAUUUUGUUAUUUGUUUGUGUCUUUUGGACUAGUCUUUUGUUUCCAUACCCUUAAAUCCAAUAAUCUUGAAAUAAAUCCAAAUGGAAGCUUCCCUAGUUCACACCCGUCCUAACACCUCUAAAAUUGAUCCAUUCAACAAGACAUUCUUUAAGAGAUGACAAGAAAGGGUUUUCUCUGCAAUUGAUGUAGUGAACUUGGAACACAUUUUGACAAUUUCAAAACUAGAAGAUAGUUCUCAUCUGUUACCAACCUGGGAAAUAAGAAAUAAAUAAGUUAGGCAUGCUAUUCUGAGUACCCUUUCUAAUGAACUUUUUUAUAUUUAUUGUUAAUUUAAAGUUGCAAAAGAAAUUUGGGAUGCAAUGAAUAAAAAAUAUAUUUUGGAAGAUGCAGAAACUCAGAAAUGUGCCAUAGGGAAUUUUAGAAAUUUCCAAAUGACCGAGGAUAGAGAUGUAUCAUCUCAAAUCCAUGACUACCACUUGUUGAUUAAUGACUUAGCUAUUGAAGGCAUUAAAUUACCCAAAUCUUUUGUGGUUGGUUAUUGAGUAGAGACUCUUCUAGAGUCUUGGAAAUACUAUAAAAAUAACAUGAAACAUAAAAGGAAACAAAUGUCCUUAGAGGAUGUAAUAAUCCAUAUUAGGAUUGAGAAACAAAACCGAAAUAGGGACAAUAUUGAGAAAGCUAAGGAAAUGUCUUCUAAAGCUAAUGUAGUAGAAGAAAAAUCUAAACCUAAAAACAACAGGUCCAGGAAACAAAACUCUAGGACCAAGCCCAUUGCAUCAAACAAGGUCCAGAACUCAACUAUUAAAAAACGAGGUAAUUGCUUUGUCUGUGGCAAGUCUAGACACUAUGCAAUUCAAUGUCACCAUAGGAAGAGAACUGAGAAGUUCAAUUCAAAGGCAAUCUAGCAGUGGCAAAGGUGAUCACAACAGUAAUCUCUUCUGAGGUGAGCAUGGUCACCAAUAUGAAGGACUGGGUGGUAGACUCUAGGGCUACUAAGCACAUCUGUGGGAAUAGAAGUGCAUUUACUUCCUAUACCACUGUAAAUGAAGGAGAGAAACAAGUGUUCAUGGGUGAUUCUAGAUCUACUCUAGUGAUUGGCAAAGGAAAAGUUCUCCUCAAGCUAACCUUUGGAAAAGUGCUUGCCCUCAGUGAUGUUCUUCAUGUGCCAAAUAUCCGUUGGAACUUGAUGUCAGUAUCUCUGCUUGGAAAAGCAGGAGUGAGGAUCUUGUUUGACUCUGAUAAAAUAGUUUUAACCAAGAAUGAUGAAUUUGUGGGAAAGGGCUAUUGUAUUUAGGGUUUAUUUAUGUUGAAUGUUUAUGAUAUUAUCAAUAAUAAUGCAUCUUCUUCUUCUGCUUACAUAGUUGAUUCUUGUGAUAUUUGGCAUGGUAGACUAGGACAUGUGAACUUUUCAUAUAUGAAGAAAAUGGUUGAAUUGAGUUUAAUCCCUAAACUGUCCUUAGAAAACCAUAGAAAAUGUGAAUCUUGUGUAGAAUCUAAAACCACAAAAAAAUCUUGCAAAUCAGUUGAAAGAUAAUCAGAUCUACUAAGUUUAAUACACAGUGACUUAGGAGACCUAAAAAAUACAAUGACUAGAGGUGGUAAACGAUUCUACAUAACUUUCAUAGAUGACUACUCAAGGUAUACAAGGGUAUAUCUUUCGAGAAAUUAAAAAUGAACCAAGAGAUGUUUUCAUCAAGUACAAAAAUGAAGUGGAAAAUCAACUAAAUAAGAAAAUUAAAAGGCUUAGAACUAAUAGGGGAAGAGAGGAUGAGUCCAACCCCUUCAAUUAUUUUUGUGAAGAUCAUGGGAUCAUUCACAAAACUACUCCUCCUUAUUCCCCUGAGUCUAAUGGAGUAGCAGAAAGGAAAAAUAAGACCUUAAAAGAAAUGAUGAAUGCAAUGUUGGUAAGUUCAGGAGCACUCUUGAACUUGUGGGGGGAAGCUAUCCUAUUCGCAUGUCAUAUUCAAAAUAGAAUGCCUUACAAGAAAACUAGUAAAACUCCUUAUCAGAUGUGGAAGGGUUAUGCACCUAAUAUAGCAUACCUGAAAGUAUGGGGGUGUUUAGCUAAAGUUCUUCUCCCUGAACCUAAAAAAGUUCAUUGGCUAUGCUGAGAAUAGUGUGGCAUGUAGGUUUCUUGUUACUAAGUCAUAAAACAGUCUUGUAGAUGUCAAUACUAUAAUAGAAACAAAGAAUGUAGAUUUUUUUGAAAACAUCUUUCCUAUGAUACUAAAUAGUGAACAACAAGUUCAGAAAACAAGUAGAGACGAGUCUAUUGAACCUUCUGAAUUUAAACCUAGAAGGAGUAAAAGAGAUAGGAAAGAAACAAACCUUGGAGAUGGUUUCUACACCUUCCUAAUAGAUGAUGACCCUAGAUUCUACAAAAAAAAGCUAUAACUUCUCCUGAUGCACCAUUUUGGAAGGAGGUCAUUAAUAGUGAAAUCGAAUUAAUCAUGUACAACCAUACAUGGGAGUUAGUAGAUUUACCUCAUGGUGCAAAGAGCAUUGGUUGUAAGUGGAUCUUUAAAAGAAAGUUGAAACAAAAUGGGUCUAUAGAGAAGUAUAAAGCUCGUUUAGUUGCCAAAGACUUUAAAUAAAGAAAAGAUGUAGAUUACUUUGACACAUUUGCCCUUGUGACUAGAAUAGCAUCAAUUAAAGUAUUGAUUGCUCUAGCUUCCAUUCAUAAUUUAGUGAUACACCAAAUAGAUGUCAAGACUACAUUCUUGAAUGGGGAUUUGGAAGAAGAAAUUUAUAUGGAACAACCUAAGGGUUGUGUAGUUCCAAGAAAGGAGAAAAAGGUGUGUAAGUUGGUUAAAUCACUAUAUGGGUUAAAACAAGCUCCCAAACAGUGUCACAACAAGUUUGAUCAUGUGUUAGUAACUAAUGGAUAUUCCAUUAAUGAUGUUGAUAAGUGUAUCUAUAGCAAGUAUGAGGAUAACACAUGUGUAGUCAUAUGUCUUUAUGUUGAUGACAUGUUGAUCUUUGGAACUAGCCUAGAGGUUGUGUGUGGGACCAAGAAAUUCUUAGGUUCUAAGUUUGAUAUUAAAAACCUAGGAGAGGCAGAGGUGAUUUUAAGAAUGAAAAUAACUAAAACACCUAAUGAGUUUAAACUUUCUCAAGAGCACUAUGUUGAAAAGAUCCUAAGGAAGUUUGAACACUUUGAUUGUAAACCAGUGUCAACUCCUUAUGAUCCCAGCUCACAGCUAAAGAAAAAUAGAGAACAUAGUGUUGCCCAAAUAGAGUAUGCUCGGAUCAUAAAGAGCCUAAUGUACUUAAUGAACUGUAUCAAACCUGACAUUGCUUAUGCAGUAGGUAGAUUGAGUCGGUACACCCAAAGUCCUAAUUAGGACCAUUAGAUUGUUGUUCGUAUAGUCCUUAAGUAUUUGAAAGGCACCAUUAACUAUGGUUUGUGCUUUAGUGGACUUCCAAGUGUCCUUGAAGGAUUUAGUGAUGCAAAUUGGAUCUCGAAUUUAGAUGAGAUGAAAUCCACUAGUUGAUAUGUUUUCAUCCUUGGUGGAAGUAUAGUUUCUUGGAAGUCUGCCAAGCAAACUUGCAUUACUCGAUCUACUAUGGAGGCUGAGUUUAUUACCUUAGAGAAAGCAAGUUUUGAGGUUGAAUGGCUUAGAAACCUCUUAGCAGAUAUCCCUUUAUGGAUGAAACCAACCCUGUUUGUGUCUAUGCGUUGUGAUAGCCAAGUUGCAAUUGCUAAUGUUAAGAGUAAAAUAUUUAAUGGGAAGAACAAACAUAUACGUUGAAGGCAUAAUAUUGUACGGCAGUUGCUUGAAACAAGGGUUAUAUCCUAGAAUUUGUGAGGUCGGAGUUGAAUUUGGCCAAUCCUUUGACCAAACCACGAAAUAAGAAACUAGUGGAAGAAACAUCGAGGGGGAUAGGGCUUAUCCCUAUUAUAGAAGUCAAGAGUGGUGGUAACCCAACCUAUUACAAUGGAAAUUUCAUAAAGUAGGUUCAUAUGGGUAAUAACAAAUCACUUGUUGACUUGAGGUGCUUUAUCAACUCUAAUUGUAUGAGAGUUCAUCCUUAUGGUGUAAAUAGAGCGUAUACUGCAUUGAUUAAGGUUGAGUAUUUACUCUUAAUGAAUACCAUAUUCCUUAUGGGUGGUAUGUUUAAAUGCAAAACAUACUUGAUGGAUUCACCUAUAUGAGAGUGGAGGUGGGGCCGCUUCCUAUGAGAACUUAGGCAGGUUCUCUAAAGCUCUCAUGAAUAUCUAGGUAAGGCGCAUGACCUAUUUGUGCCAACCGGUUUUGUACAGCUCGUAGUUUAGUUAAGAAAACCAUGUGAAUAAAAUUCCCUUGAGUUACAUCAAGAAACACCGGUUCAUAGAAAUUUAUUUUCACCGUGUUUUGUGAUUCAAUACUUAUUUGUCCUCAGACUGGUUCAUAGCCUUUGGGCACCAUUAUUGAUGCAUUGGAUUUUUUUUUUCCUCAAAAAAAAAUUGCGUUUACACUUUGUGGGGUAUUUUAUUCUAUGAGUCUUAUAUUUUUUGGAAGAGUCCUAUUGGGAUUGUGAUAAUGGAGUCUCAUUCCUUUUAUAAGUAGAAUCCCCUUCCACUUUGAGUCUUGUUCUGAUUACAAGUCGAUUCUUAUUGGGAUUGUGUUAGUGGCCUAUAAAAGUAGGUCACCCCUUACUUUCUAUAUAUGAAUACCAAUUUUUCAGAGAAUUUUUAAAAAGAGUUUUUCAAAGAGUAUUUUUAUACAUCUAUCUAAAGGAAUUUUUUCAAAACCCGAGUUGUACACAUCUCAUUUACAGAGUGCACCCAAUGCGAGAUCUGACUGUUGAAUCCUAGAAGUAGACCACUGGUACUUUAGUAUACCGAGUUAUUUUUCAAGGAGGGUGGAUCUAUUUCAAGGACAAUGUUUGUUACGCCUCAGGCGAUAAAUUUUUCUUCUUAUUCAUUUUGUUCUUUGUUUGUCUUCUUCUUAUUCAUUUUGUUCUUUGUUUGUCUUUUGGGUUAGUCUUUUGUUUCCAUACCCUUAAAUCCAACACCAAGACCAUACAUAAAUGAAGGGGAAGAGGAAGAGAAAGCAAAACUUUCAUCUGAGAUCUGCAUGUGUCGGGCGGUGGAGGGUGCAUGGUACAUGGUUUGAGCUACAUGCCAUUGCAUGUGGUCCUUGAAGAAAUCAUGUUAACACAACCACAUAAAAUAAUUCAAUUCUAGAAAUGCAUCUGUAACCAGGGAAAUCUAUACUGGCAUCUGUGCAUAAACUUAUGCGAGAAAUAUGGUACCAAGUCUCUGCAGAUUUAUACGUGGCCGACAUCGUGGAUGUCCUGUGAACUAGAUGCGGAUUACUAGUCUAUUCAAGGGAUGGACCUCCCCUACAAAAAAUCUAUGUGAGGUUUGUCGUCUCAUGCAGUUUUAAACGUAGGAAAAUGAAGUUAGUAAGAGAGUCACAUGUGGUUUUUUGGUCCUUUAGCUCAAUCACGGGCUCAACAGUCGCUACAAGUUAAAACAUCCUCAUUCAGAAACCGCGUCUCCCUGAUUCUCGUCCGGAAAAGUUGAAAUUCGAAGCAAAAGUACUUAUCUGCAGCCCAACUUGAAGCUAGAGGCAUUGAAGUUCGAUGCUACAUAUUCAGAGUGAUUUGUGGUGCUCCUUAAGUCAAUUGGGUCAUGACAAAUGAUCCAAUCGACUACGGAGAAAAUAGGGCGAUUUGUGGGGUCAUGUCUCUUCCCCACACAGUUGGAUACACUAUAAAGAAGGCUAGUGACUAACAUGGAUUUUCAUCCACAGGCACUUGCUGGGUUUUGCGUUAUGGGGAAGCAUGGUCUGGCUACCUGGUUGGUCAUCCUUCUCAACUUCGCUACACUUCUCACUUCUCUUGCUUGUUCCUACUGCCCAUCCCCAACUCCUCCUAAACCACCCAAGGUAAAGCACCCCCUUCCGCCUCUUCCACCUAAACAUCCUCCACAUGUCAAGCCACCGCAUACACCUAUGCCACCCAAGCCUCCUGCUGUAAAACCACCAUAUGUACCUAAUCCUCCAGUUGUGGAGCCGCCUUAUGUGCCCAAGCCUCCUGUUCUAAAUCCGCCUCAUGUGCCCAAACCUCCUAUUGUAAGGCCUCCUGUUGUAAAACCACCUUAUGUGCCCAAGCCACCAGUGGUUCAGCCCCCACCGCCACCAGUGGUUCAUCCCCCACCGCCACCAACACCGUGCCCACCACCACCACCCCCCAAGGGGAGGCCCCCACCACAAAAGAAGCCUCCUGUUCUAAAUCCGCCUCAUGUGCCCAAACCUCCUAUUGUAAGGCCUCCUGUUGUAAAACCACCUUAUGUGCCCAAGCCACCAGUGGUUCAGCCCCCACCGCCACCAGUGGUUCAUCCCCCACCGCCACCAACACCGUGCCCACCACCACCACCACCACCCAAGGGGAGGCCCCCACCACAACAGACAUGCCCCAUUGACACUCUGAAGCUAGGUGCAUGUGUGGAUUUGUUGGGAGGGCUUGUGCACAUUGGGAUAGGAAGUAGUGCUAAGGACACAUGCUGUCCAGUGCUGCAAGGGCUUGUGGACUUGGACGCUGCCGUCUGUCUUUGCACCGCCAUCAAAGUCAAGCUUCUUAACGUCAAUAUCAUCAUACCCAUUGCUCUUCAAGUCCUUGUUGGCUGUGGCAAGACUCCACCUUCAGGAUUCCAAUGCCCUGCCUAAGGUAAUCCAUCCUUCAAUUUUGUCAUUAAUUUCACAUAAUUCGCCCAUGUCUUCCCAUAUACGAAGAAGUUGACUAGUACUUUUCCUCGUUAAUGAUUGCAGUGGAUGACGUAGUUUGGAAAGUGGAAGAGAAUAACACGUGACGAGUGAGAGGUUGAAGAAAGCCAUUAUAGUAGAAAAUGUGUCUUUAUGUGUUUUUGUAAUCUCUGUUGUACGCAUAUCAAAGGGUUGUAUCAUAUAUAUGCAUAAAUGCAUCAUCUCAUGCAUGUUUUUCCGUUCUGCAGGUGUUAUCAGUUAAAACUUUAACAUACUUCAUACCUUUGAAGUGGAUGGUUCUUUCUCAAUUUGUCUUGUUUUCCACUUUCAUUAAUCUCAACAAGUCGUCCGAAUUUUCAAUUGCGCCACAGCUUCAAUCAUCAGCUCAGCCUAAUCCCAUUUACCCAACUUAUGUUCUCAUCAUUCCUAUUUGGUGGAUCAGUUUUUUAACUCAAAACAUUUUUUUUUCUUUUUUUCUUUUUUGAGUUUCUUUUAAAUACAACUUAAAGACUAAAUAAUGUUUGAUAGGGUUAAUCAUUAAGCUAUUUGUUUUUUUUUUUUAAUAUUUUAUUUUUAUUAAGUGUUAAAAAAAAAUCGAUCACUUUAAUUCUUUAAUCAUGGUGAUUUACUUUUAACAUUAAAAAAAAACUUAAUUUUUUUAUUUAGUAAAAAAAAUAGGAAAUAAGUAAUAAAUCAAUAAAUUAAAGAGUAAAAAAAAAACAAAUUAUCUAAAAUAUGAAAAUAAGUUAUUUUUAACAAAAACAAAAAAUUAGUUAACCAUAGCUCUGGAAGCAUUCCCAUGUUUUGUUUCGUACAUAGAAAAUUUGAGAGGAAAAAAAAAAAAAAAAGAUUAAGGGGUUAUGCUUGUUUCAAGAAAAGGUUAAGGAAAAUAAAAGAAAAAAGAAAAAAUAUAUAAGGAAACAAAAAUAAGUAAAAUUUAUAAUUUUUUUUUUCAAAUGACCAUAAAAAGGUGAAAAGGAAAGAAAAUUAGAUAGUCAAAUAUAUUUUCUAUUUUUAUUUUUAAAAUUAUAAAUUUUUAUAUAAAGCUAGAUAUAAAUUUAUUUUAUAUCUUUAAAAUUCAGUAAUAACAAGCUUUAAAGACUUACUUUUUCAACAUAAAUAUUAUGAAAUUUUUAUGAUUUCAAAAAAAAAAACCUAACAUGAAGUGCAUCUAAACCAACAUCAGGUAAUGUAUUUUAACAAACUUUUCUUGUCUCUACCCAAGGAUUAUGAAAAUGAAAAUCUUUUAGCUUUUGUUUUCAUGGCAUCCAACAAUAAGUAAAAUAAGUAAAUUAUAUCCUAAGGUUGUGUUUAGUUCCCAAAAAAUUUAAGGAAAAAUAUGAAAAAAAAAAAAAAAAGUAGAAUAGAAGAAAAAGUAAAGAAGAAUAAAAAUAAAUUUAAAUUUAAUAAAUUAUUUGUAUACGUUUGUUAAAACCCAUUUUACUCCUUACUCUUUAUUAUAGUAAAAUUGAAUAAUUUUAAAUUAAUUUUAAUUAUAUUUUAUAUUAUUUUAGAGGUAAAUCAAAUAUGAAAAAACCAUUUUUUUUAACAUUUUUUUUUCUGGUAUUUUUAGGAAAUGAAAUAUAACCUAAAACUAUUUAGAAAAAUUAUAUUUUAAAAUUGUUUUUAAAAUCAUUUUUCAAAUACUGGAUGAAUUUUCAAAAAAUUACUUUAAUCCAAAUUUUAGGUAAUUAAAAAAUAUUUUUUAUUUUGUAGAGAUAAGUAUUCAUUUAAGGUCAAAAGCAAACGGAGUGAUGAUAAAUGUAACGUAGAACUUUCCUUAUAAUAUUCUGAUAAAGACUACUUAUUCUGCAUUUGAUAAGAGAGUGACUGAUGUUACCGUAUCCACUAAAGCUCCGUGAUCUUUUGUACACUUCCCCAUCCACCAAGCAAAGGAUAACGUUUGUCUGGUCGCAUCAGACUAUCGGUGCAUGAAGGCAUUCGUGAUACGGAUUCUAACAAUAUGCGACCCACCGACGGAAAGAGACAGAAAGAGAAGGCUCUGCCUGGUAGUCGAGAAAAUGUGCGAAAAAAGUCAUUUGGUUAUCAAAACCAAAACUAAUCAAAGACACGGAAAAAAAAUUGAGUUGGACAGCUAUUAAAAAAAUAGAGGAUUUCAAUUUUUCCUUAUUUUCCCGGGAGCUAAAUCCAGAGAAAAUUAAGAAUGUUCCACUUUUUCUUUCUUUUCCUUUCCUCAAGUUUCUGGACAGCCAAACAAAUGACUUCUAUACAGCAGAAACACGACAAGCAGCACUGAUUGACAGAUAAAAAGAGACAAGGGUGAAAGGAAAUUUUCUAGGGAAAGUAUCUGCGCAAGAAUAUGUUGUUAUGUGCUGUCACAAGAUAUUUAAAAGUAUUGGAGAACUAUGUGAGUCGUUGCCUUAUUUAGGUACUGGUGUAUAUUUGGCAAGAAUAUAUUUAGGUACUGGUGUAUAUUUGGCAAGAAUAUAUUUAGGCUGAUUUAGUGUGAUUACGAUUGUAAUAUGUGAUCCUUGUAAUUC